GGGGUCGAUGGGUGAUCAAGAAGGCCCAUGGCCUAGAUCAGUGACCUCCAUUGCACUUUGGAGGGGUCCUGGUCUAAGGUCUCCCCAAGAGGGAGAGCCUACGUCAUAAUUUGUGGCAGCGGGGGCCUGCGUACGCGCGGCCCCUUCCUAAUUGAUGUUUAAAGAGUUUUAGCGGCCUUAAUAUGAAUUCAUGGCCUUGCAUUCUUGAUCGGAAGUUAAAAUAUGUUCUGCUCAAAUGUUAUUUUCCUUUAUGGUUCUAAGGCUUUAUACACGAGACCACAAGUCUUUGUAAAUAAUUUUUAAGCUCGGUAAAUGCAUACAAAUUAUUGGUCGCUGAUUCUAAAUUAAUGUAAAUGAUUAUUUUUUUCAUAAUAUUUAUAAUUGUUUGAAGGAUUUUUAUUAAUGACUAGCGAAGGAUAAAAAAUGGUAAAAUAAUUUUUAUUGACUAAAUUUUCAAAUAAAAUAGGACAGAAAGAGUAUAUAAAAUGAUUUCUAUAGUUAAUUUAAAUAUGAAAAUUUACUUUUCAAUAAAAUUUUAUGUAGAAGUAGAAUAAAAGUAUUUUCUAUUUUGUGUAGAAAUAAAAUAAAAUCUGUAUUAUAUUCCAAAAAACAUUAAGUUGUUUUUUUAGAGAGAUUUUUCUUUCUACCGGAAAUUACUAAAUUAGCAUUAUACAAAAGUACAGCGUGAUUGAUUAGAAUAUUCCACCCACAAAAACAUUCAUUAUCUAUCUAAGCUUUGCUUUUAGGAUUAUAUCACCGUCUCAAGCCUUUGCGAGACAUUAUCAUUAUUAAUGGAAAGUUAAAUAGCAGUAUAACAGAAAGAGAUCCGUUAGCUUGUCCCACAUCGGACAGAGGUAAAAGAUAUAGCAAGCGUAAAUGCAGAUAGCAAGUGCGAGUUAAGCUUGCACAGAGUUGGAAGAGCCUGUAUUUUACUAUCUUCGUUCCAUAAUAUUUGUCAUUUGAAAUAUUUCAUAAUAUUUGUUACAUUUAAAAAUUUAAAAUAUUUCGUAAUAUUUGUCACAUUUGAAAUUUAACGUUCCUUAAAAAAAUUAUUAAAAUUUGUUUAAAUUAUAAUAAAUUAUUAAAUAAAUUGACUAUAUUACACUUAAUUUAAUACUAAUUCUCUAAAAAAAUCAUUAAAUUGAAAUAAUAAUUAUUGGUCAUAUAUAAAGAGUAAAUAUUGAAAAAAACAUUUAUUACUCCUUAAAACCAUAAAUGUAACAAAUAUUUUGAAACAAGUUAUUUUCUCGAAUGUGACAAGUAUUAUGAAACGAAAGUAGUAAUAUUUAGUAAUGGGAACAUUAAAGGACUCUUAUCCAUUCAAUACAGACAUAUUUUAGUACCUACUAAUGCUCUUUGAACCAUAACAUUCCUGAAAAAGAAAUGUAAUAUAAGAGUGAGUGUAGAGAAUGUCACAACACAAAUAUACCUCUAUAGACUGACAUUUUUCCCUCCCUUCAGAAGGUGCUGCAUAUACACGUAUAUUACAGUUUCAAAUCCCCUUUGACACCCAGCUAUACAAAAAAGGAAAAAAAGAAAAAAAAAAAAGCUGCUAUGGUCUUUGGGUUGCAGCAGCAUGCAUCCCUUACAUACACAAACCUGCACCUAUAUGCUUUUGUUUUUUUCCUAUUCUUUUCUCGUUUCCUUCUUAAAAUUUCAUACACUAGCCUUGACCCGAGGCAAAAUUAACAAGAAUGUCUCCUUAUUCACAGUUGAGUCAUUGAGACAUUUCAAGGUGUAGAAUUUACUGAUAUCUCCUGUUGCAGAGGUGAGCUUGGUUGAUCCAGAUGUGACGGGAUGGCAAGCCGCUGCAAGGGUUUGAGAGCUACUGCGAGCUGUGCAAAGGAAGGCCGCAAGUUUGGAUCACUGAGCGAUAAUAUCCCAGUAACGCAAUCAGUAACACGAAUUCAUACAUUAUGUAUAUUAGUAACAGAAGAGUAUUAUGAGUUUGUCUAAAAUUUGCUUUUUAACUUACGUCUGCCAACAUUCCCAAAUUAUCCUUGCAACCAAGGGAUCAACAUCCUUAGGGAUUUCAAGGCGACGGUUCUGGAAACCAACAGCUCCAACAACUUGCAUUGGGUUCAUCCCACUCCAUGGCAAUCGUAGUGUUGCAAGCUCCCAGAGAAUGACUCCAAAACUAUAUACAUCACACCUGUUCAUUCAAAAAAGCAUGUUCAAUUUGGUAUAGUGAUCCACAAUGCUUAUGAAAUCAAUCAAGGUUUCUCCUAGGCAAUAGCCACAGAAAAACACAUUUCGAAUGCAUCACUUUUAAACUCACAAGUCACUGUAAUGCUAAUUUCAUUAUGAUUUUCAUAAGCUUCUAAGAACAUUAACAUCAAAGGACCACUUAAAUCCCUUGUCUCCAUGAAUUUGAAGAAUAGAAUUCAUUUACAAAGGAUUGAAUUCAAUUUAGUCGUAGUUUUUUAGAAGUGAAAUAAAAAUUUUCAUUCAUACUAAACAUGAAGCAUGAAAUUUUAUAAGAUUUGUAUAAAAUUUUGUGGAAUUCAUUUAUAUACCAGUAAAUGUUUUAGAGGCACUGUACACAUUAAAUUCUGGAACAUUGGGCCUUACUGCUCAGCCAAGAAUAGAUUCUAAAUAAUUUGGUUUUGUGUAACCGACUCCUAUAGAAUAAACACAUAAGAUUCAUACUCCAUCUGGCUGCUUGCCAGGUAGAAUUUCAAAGUGAUUUGUACUUUUAACCCUGAUCAAAUAUGCUUAAAGGAGUAAUAAAAAAUGUCAGUUUCAACUUCAAGAAGCUUGUGCAAGUGCAACAGCAUAAUAACUGAAAAGCAAAAAUGUAACAUCAGCAGCUCACUUCUCAUUUGAGGGUUCAUUGCGAAGAACUUCCGGUGCCAUCCACUCAGGCUUAACCCAGCAAAGACAAUUCAAUCAGGGAAAAAGCAUGACGGUAAGAUCAAGACAUGAACUGCAAUCCAAUUAUAAUUAAAGAUAGGGCGAAUUACUAUUUAUUCCUAUAGUUUAGUAAAAUCCACAAGUCAGGACCUUUUUUAUUCCAAAAAUCAAUUAAAUAGUCCCUCUCUUUUGUUGAUAUUCAACUACAUAUAUUCUGUUAAUUUUUCCAUUAAACUGUGAUGAAAUAUCAAUUUUCCAUAAAAAAUGGUUUCUUUCUCUCAUGGGCAACGUUGGAAAAAAAUAUUUUAUUUGACUUCUUUGAUUUGACCAACCAAAAAAACAACAAAAUUUCAAACAAAGAACUAUUUAGUUGAAUAACAACAAAAUAGAGGACUAUUUAAUUGAUUUUUGGAAGCAGAGGUCCCAAUUGUAAAUUAUACCCAACUACAGGGACUAAAUAGUAAUUUACCCUUCACAAUAUAUGUAAAAGAUAAUAAUGGAUUCUCACUGUUCCUGCAGUUGAUUUGGAUGACAAAAAGGUGUUAUGCUUCAAGCGCGACAACCCAAAAUCACAAACCUGCAAAGUAAAACAUUAUAAUCUGUUAAAAGAGGCCCAUAACACAAACAUCCCUGCUGGUGCUAUUUCUCCGGUUCCAAACCAAACAAGCCAAGCCAGUGUCUCAGCUUGAUUAACAAAAAUUAGUAGGUCUAAUACAGUUACAAUAAACAUCAUAAAAUUUGAAAUAAAGAGCUUUGUACAGAAUGUUGUCUGUUGCAUUAAAGUGCAGACCAUCCUUCAAACAAGUUUGGCAUAACAAAUGCAAAGAUCUUACAGUUGCCAUCUUAAAACAUUAUAAUAUCUAAUCUAAAAGUCACAAGGACCUGGAACAAGCACUAGUUGUAAGCCUGAGACAAACAGUUCAUAUUGUUUCAGACAUCAGUGAAUCUCUCUCCAGAUUAACAUACACACACACACAUACAAUUUCUGCAACACCAAUUUUGUGAGGAUGCCUGAAAGCAACAUAAUUGAAUAAAAAAAGAUGAUAAUUUAGAUUCCAAUUAAUUAACAAAGCAACAGCAACAUGUACCUUGACAGUCCAGUUUUUAUCAACCAAAAGAUUUGGUGACUUCAAAUCCCGGUGAACAAUUGUUGGUAUACUGGUAUGCAAGCAGUUCAUACCUCUUGCCUGCAACAUGAAGAAAGAUCUGUAUCCAACUCAAAGGUAUUGAAUGCAGACAAGAAAUAGGAAAAGAGUUUGAAUAUCUCAUACCACGUCAAGAGCCAUCUUUAUCCUUCGCUUCUCAUCAAUUUGACAAUGAGAACGAUGAAGAAUCCGGUAUAAACUCCCUCUAGCAAGCCAAAUAUCAUUCACACUUAAUAGGAUGAAUAAAUAAGUAACUAUGGUAUAAGCAUGAAACACAUGCUACCAAAACCAUAAAGCUAAUAGCAAUUUCUGUUGAUUUGGCAUAAGAUGUAACUUAUUCGAAAGGCAUGGUGACAAAAUGAAAGCACAAAAAAUUGUACCUUGGAAGAAACUCUGUAAUGAUAGAGAGGUUUGGAGGUCGUGUAACAGCACCCAUGAAGAGCACAACAUUUGGAUGGCGCAAUCUCCGCAUUAUUCGCACCUUACACCAAAUGGUAAAUAUCAAAAUUCCAGAGUCAGUAAUUUUGAACUCGAAAAAAAUUAAGAACCAUGAUAUCUGAGACACAUCCAUUAAGCUAUGUACACAUGAUGGAGGAAAACAAUUACCCAGAUCAAAGAACAGUUUGUUUAUGAAAUAUAAAGGGAAAGGACAUUCAGAAGUUCGACUCAACAAGCUUCUGCGUUUCAAAUGUCAUGCCCAUGUUCUAGUCUAGUGUACUUAUCCAACAAGAGUAGCAUAAAGUAGAUGAAGAGUUGAAGUAACCAUUUGGUUUUGGAUUAACAUCAUGGAAGGAAAUUACGGGAAAUGGUGGUGAUAUUACGUAAAACUUAGUGCACUUAUCCAACAAAAGUAGCAUGCAGUAGAUGAAGAGUGCCUAUGUUCUAGUCUAGUGUACUUAUCCAACAAGAGUGGCAGAAAGUAGAUGAAGAGUUGAAGUAAUCAUUUGGUUUUGGAUUAACAUCAUGGAAAUGAUGGUGAUAUUACGUAAAACUUAGUGCAUUUAUCCAACAAAGUAGCAUGCAGUAGAUGAAGAGUUGAAGGAAAGGAACCAUUUCUUUUGGAUUAGCGUCAUGAAAGGAAGGUAUGGGAAAUGAAGGUGAUAUUAAGUAAAACUAAUAUUUAUAUAUUAAAAGAUUAUAAAUGAUAGAAAUACCAAAAAAAAAAAAAAAAAAAAAAAAAAAAAAAAAAAAACUUUUUAGGCAAAUUUUUUNNNNNNNNNNNNNNNNNNNNNNNNNNNNNNNNNNNNNNNNNNNNNNNNNNNNNNNNNNNNNNNNNNNNNNNNNNNNNNNNNNNNNNNNNNNNNNNNNNNNNNNNNNNNNNNNNNNNNNNNNNNNNNNNNNNNNNNNNNNNNNNNNNNNNNNNNNNNNNNNNNNNNNNNNNNNNNNNNNNNNNNNNNNNNNNNNNNNNNNNNNNNNNNNNNNNNNNNNNNNNNNNNNNNNNNNNNNNNNNNNNNNNNNNNNNNNNNNNNNNNNNNNNNNNNNNNNNNNNNNNNNNNNNNNNNNNNNNNNNNNNNNNNNNNNNNNNNNNNNNNNNNNNNNNNNNNNNNNNNNNNNNNNNNNNNNNNNNNNNNNNNNGAAAAAAAAAAAAAAAAAAAAAAAAAAAAAAAAAAAAAAAAAAAAUCCUUAUGAGCCAAGUUUACUUCAGCUCAAUUACCCAGCAAUGUGAGGAUUUUGGGGCUUCCAUAGUACUUUAAGGCAAUGAAAACUACCAUCAACGUUUCCCACACUCCAUUCACUCGUUGCCUAAACAAAUCUUACGAUCUUCAUAACUUUUCAUACCUUUCCUUAUCUAAAAUGAGUGCAAACCAAGUCCAUAUGUUGUAUGUGCAGUAUUCUUACGAUAAGAAACAGGAAAUGAAACAAAAAUUAAGAAUCAUUUUCUUAUGUUCCCUUUCAUAUCCUUUUGGUUUUGCAGUAGAUUAAAUUUAACCAUCUAAUAUUUGUUUUCUGCUACAGUGAACCAAAAGAGAAUUAUUAUGCACAUUAGAAAGCUUAGUUAUUGCUUACUUCUCUUUUGAAUUCAGCUAAAGCCGCUCCAGAGAAAUCCUGGUCUAAGAACUUCUUAACAGCAACCUCCUGUAAGUUCAACAACAAUUGAAUGGCCAGAAAUCAGAAACCUGAAAAUUUAGUUUUCCCCCACCAACAAAAAAAAAAGAUCAAUAUAAUGUGAAGCAAGAAAUUUGAAGUGUGAAGCCUUUGUCCAACAAUUCAAUAAAAGAGUAUCGCGUCCAGACAGAAAAGUAGCUAUAAUAGAAAAAUGACGACAAAGAGUGCUUCCCAGGCCAAUAUAGGUUUCAGAUUCAAAUAAAUGAGGUUUUUUCAAAAUCAAAAGAACAUUUCAGCUGCAAAUUCACCAGUUAUCCAUUACUGUAAACUUGCAUGUAGAAAUCAAGUCAAGAAGAACAAGGAGAACUUAGAAAAAGUGAACAAACAAAUCAGCGUGAAAAGAUUAAGAUAAAGCUAGAAUGCCAAGAUAAGAAUAAUUAGAUAGGAGGGGCUUUCAAGGUCUCAUUAACUAAUUUGUGCUAUACAUAUAUUUCGCGGAAAGAAACAACUGAAAUAAAUGCAGGAAAAUUCAAGCUUACUGUGCCAUUCCAAUCAGCAUGGUAGACCUCUCCAUAUGAACCUGCUCACAAGAAAACAUGAGAUAGAUUAAUAUUAGGGAUGGGGACUAAAGAAACAAAACAUGCUGAGACGCAAUUCAAGGAUUGAAAUAAUAUCAAUAUUCCUCUUGCUAUAACCAUAUGAAGUAAGUAUCGCAGAUAAGGUGGCGUUAGCAUCAUAAGAUAAACAAGCCAAUUAUUGCCAACAGAACUACUAUUUUACCAUGCAAGUCUUGAGAACUACCAUUUUACCAUGCAAUUCUACACCUAGCAAGAAAUAAGAACCUAUUUUUCUUUUUAAAUCUCAAAAGAUGUUCUCCAGGGAAGUGGGGAAACACAUUUGUCAUGGAAAUAAGUGAAAAAAAAAAUCUAGAAAACUUACUUCAAAACACAUUUUUGCAGCAUGAGAACUAAAAAUUAAAACAAGAGGCAAACUGUAGAUUCUCUCUAUGGAUGAUCAUGUUAAGAGAAUACUUUGUUUAAUAUGCAUAAUUGAAUUUAAAUUAGUUAAAAAAAAAUUUUUUUUAUCGGAAUCAAAGGAAAAAAAGAAAGGAUUUUUUGUGUAUCUACAUGCAUAUACAUACAUUCACUCUAAAAUUGAAUUGGCCAUUAUGAGGCCGUGAUUGGUAUUGGUAUGCAUAAAUGUCUCGUCCCAGAAAAAUGCAUUACCUAGUCCAAUCCUAUCACCAAGGACCAGAUCUUCCCAAGGAAUUUCACAUUCACCCACAUCUACAUCAUCAAAUAUUUGAUCAGCCCUGGUCCAACUGGAAUCAAUUGAAGAACUAGGACUCUCCGGUUCCUUCAAUUUCAGAUUGGCACCCAUAAAUCUGUCGUGUGUGCACUUUCUACGAGCCUGGACACCAAUUUCAUUAUUUUCAUUAUGUUGAACAUUGACUUCCACAUCAUAUGGGAAAUUAUGUGCAUCCUUAAGAUUUUCUUCUUUAAAACUUGAGUUUACUUCCUCAACUGAAGGUGGUUUAUAGCAUUGAUUCAUGCUAGAUUCUGAAGCUGAAGAAGUACCGCUUGAUGAAUUCCUAGGAUCACCGUCUCUACUGGAUGAAUUCAAAUUACUGGAUGAUUUGAAGCCUUGAGAACAAAUCUUCUUAGACAUAGUAGAGCUGGUUGAAGCCAAGGAUGGCUGAUUAUAAUUAUUGGGUUCACGAUUGAUUCUUGGAAGGAAUCCUUCCAUAUAAUCAUAUUCUUUUUUUCGAGGGACUUCAUUGCAUGCAUAUCGGUUCUUCCACAUCAAUGGUACAGGCGGACGACCAGGGAGGGGAUUAUUUUUUUGCCCUUGAAAUUCUUCAACUUUAUUCUCAACAGGUUUACUGUGUAUGAAGCUUUUGCCAGUUCCUUUAAUUUGAAAUGGAUUAAGAUCUGAAAAGAGGUUCUUUGAAUCCUCUGAGCUAUUUUGGUUAUAUGGAAUAACAUUGACAUUCUUCCGCACAGAAUCAACUGCAUGGGCUCCAUGACUCCCCUUAUACAAAGAAGACCCAAUAGCCAAGGAGGAAAUAUUACCAUGUUGAUUAGAAGGAGCUGCUCUACUACAUAUCCCAGAAGAACCAACACCAGCAUCACUACUAGCACCAGAGAAUGUAGCUGAUGACUCCAAUCCUUCAGUGCUUAAUCUUUUUUCUAAAGGCAAACGACCAUCCAUGGAAGAGUUCUGACUACUGCCUUCACCAGAUAAUGGCUUUGGUUUAGAAUAGACAAUGUCAUUAGAAGAAUGAAGACCAGGGAAUUUACUGAUGUUUGGAUUACAUGAUAUAAAAUUAGUAUCCUUUGCACUUAGAACAUCAGCAGGUAUGAGUGUCCCAGGAUCUGCCAUGAGAUCAACCAAAAACUCCCUGAAAGGUAGAAAUUCACAUGUGAGAAGUGACAACAACUGGAAAUAUUUUCUUCUGCUAAUCAAAUUAACACACGUGUACAAACAUACACAAACUCAAAUUUGGUUCAUUUGUAUAAACUCUUGAACGACACGAGGCUUAAUCAAAUGGCCUAAUGACGGAUUUAUGUUCCAAAAAGAGGGAUCAAUUGACCCCUCCUAUAAAUCCCUUUAUAUACAUAUAGAUUCCUCUAAAUUGACCCCUUCUAAAAUUAAUAUUACACCUUGUUUAUAAUAUUUUAUUAUAUAUUUAACCCUUGAAAUUUUCUAGAUCUGCCACCGAAACGGCCCCACAAAAUCUUUCAGUAAGAGGUGCUACCUGGUUGUGAACAGUUUUAGGAUCUUAAUUCUUAAGUCACUUGAGACUAUAAGCCAAUCAAGCUAUCAAUGUCUAGCAUGUGACCUAGUAAAAUAAUGAGAUAAGUUUCACUGUCUUCCAAGCUUAAUUUUCCUUUCCAUGAGACCCGCAACUCAACUCUCUUUUCAUAGAUCUCCUCCAUUGCAUAUCUAUACAGACCUAUUGCAGUUUUGCUAAUGACUUUAGCAAGUCAGGAAAAGCUACAAGGAGGGAAGUGCAAAUACAUAAAUGAGAGAAACAUCCUUAAUUUAAAACUUAUAAUCAGUUGGACAAACCAAAUGAUAAAGAAAAUAAUAAGUAAAUAAAAACCUUCAACAAUAACAAGCCAUAACCUUUCAUCUUCCAGCUUUAUAAUGUUGAUAGCAUCAUCCUCAAUGCCAGUGUAAUGACUGCCCUUCACUAAUCGACAAGGUAAUCUUAUAUUGUCGGCCAAUACCUACAUUCAAGUUACAGAAGAUGAUGUACACAAAGUUUUUAGGUAGCCGACUAAGAUAAUAAUUAGAGUUUGGCCAGGAUAAACCUGCAGGAAUUGGUCACUAAUGGAAAUAUAGUGCUGACCUUAAAAAGUAAAGCUCGAUGUCGAGACAAACCAAUGUUUAUGGACCCAAUAGGCAACACACUUGUGUGAAGGGAUGUCCUCAAUUCUGUACUUCUUUCCAUCCAUCUUGCCAACAUUAUGUUAGCAUCCUUUACUGGCCCACCCAUAUGUCCUGUAACAAGUUCAGCUAGCCGCUGUACCAGAACACCAACAUCCGUAGCAGGGCAAUCUAGAGAAACACAAUGUGCAACUUGCAACAACUCUUCUAAUGCAGGAUCAAUUACUCGUUUGACUAUUACUGCUUCAAAACUAGAACUCCCAGGGUUUGUUUCCAGAUCUGUGAGAGAUGGCAUUUUUCCUUGUACUGCUGGACUUGUGGAGAACACAUCAUAAAAACCAUCAACCACUUUCUCCUCAUAAUCGAGUACAUUAUAUUCCUGGUGAGUCAAUCCAAGACGUCAAGCAAAUAGAAGAUAUCAUUACACAAAAGAAUCAUAUGUAAGCAACAGAAGCUUGAGUACUAUCAGCAUUUAGAGGUGCCUUAAGUGACAAUGAGGUAAAUCACAGGCACAUCACACAUUUGUGAGAUUGCCACAUACACUCAGGAAACCAUUCAUAUUUUCUCCUAACACAAUACAUUAAAUUUCUGGUGAAACAAUUUUAGACAAGGAAAGGUAAACAAACUGGAGCAAAAUGUCAUUAUGCAAUAACAUAAUAUGAAAGCAUCACAAAGUCCAGUCAUAUUGGCAGUUAGAUGUGACUCCAACAAAUUUGGGGUAAAUUAGAGGUGUACAUUUUUGUAAUUACCAAACAUGCUUCAUGAACUGUACAAUGUAUAAUGAGAUAACAGUGCCACUACUUAAUCUAUGAAACUAUAAGAACUUAUUUCAAAAUUUCUACCAAUUGCAGACCUUUAAAGUUCAUUAAUCUUGUGGAAGUUUUUGUAAGAUGUUAUUUCCAAUGUCUAACAUAGAGUGAGUUCAAGAAGCAUUAAUAAACACACCACAAACAAAAUAAGAUCCCACAAGAAAGCUUUUAAACAAUACAAAAAUGCGCAGGUGGAACUCAAUUGUACCUAAACUGAACAGGGUUUCCUUGAAAUAACAGGGGGGAGAAAAAGAAAAAUUCAAGAAUUUAACCUCCAAUUAUAAAGUUUUUCAAUUGAAAUUCCAUACAGGAUUAGAACCAUGCUCAGCAGCAGCUAAAACAAACCAAGCAAAGACUAAGACCCAAAUUCCAGUUCAUUCCUAAUAAUUCACCCCGCAUGAGAAUGAAUAUUACUUGAAUCCUAUCUCAAAUAAUUUAAGGAAAUACCAAUUAGUACCAAACAUAAUCAACAAUGACGAAAUACAGCUCUAGCCAAAUUCAAGCUCAUUAAUAGCCACUGACAUAUCCAAUAUUCAAGAAUAGUUAAUCUACCAUAUCACGACAAUGCACACUGUUCGCAGUCCUAAUUGAUAACAAUCCUCGAUCUAAAACCAGUUCAACAUAUACUUUGCAUGGAUUUGUUAAGCACCGCCGGAAACAGUGAAAAGAAAACCUUAGUUCCAAGCUCAUUCACUACAAUUCAUUGCAUUGAAAACCCAAUUAAUUGACCUCAUUUGUACAAUCAAGCAGCAAAAAGUCCCCUUCAAAAACAUCUUGAGAUCCUUUUUAUAACUCGCUGCAUUCAGAACUGAAUAACAGUUGAAUUGCUUUAUUCCCUCCCAACUCAACAGUAAAUUAAACAAAUUUCAAUUGGAAAAAAAAUAAUAACAGGGUAUUGAGCAUUGACUAACAAAAGACAAACUAAAGAACCCUAAUUCCUGUUCAUUCACUAAAAUUCCAUACAAAUGGUAGUAAAAAUUUCAAAAUUGAACUUCAAUAAGAGUCGAUAAUGCUCACCCAAUACUGCCUCGACAAGGCCUCCGCGGCAGCCUCUUCUUUUUCCCUCCCCACAUCGAUCCGAUGAUGAUGAUUUCCACCUAAACUCAACAAAGUUGCCGCUCGGAUCUGAUCCUUUUCAGGGUCGUCUCUAAACUCUGAAUUGGACGCGCUGAUCGCCAACGCUAACUGCACUUGGAACUCCUCCUCUGACGAGAAGUAAUCAGCACGAUUAUUAGAAUUAUUCGGCGCCGACGAAACAGUCGUGGCAGUCACGGUGGUCGUCGGUGGCGAAGAAGUCGACGGAGGACUAGGAGGACCAUUUCCGGAGGCAGUACGGUGAUCGGAAUUGGACGAUGGUGAGGGAGGAGUCUCGUUUGAUCGGUGUGGCUCGUGGUUACUCCCUAUGUGCAACUUCUUGAAAAUGUGCUUCAUUUCCUCUCUCUCUUAUCUCUCCAAUUUACCUCGCUUUGCCUUUCUUAUAAUCUACUCCUUUCACUGUCUAAUUUCCUAUGUAUGUACGUUUGAUCGUCUCUGAGUUUCUUUCACUUUCCCUCACUUUCUUUCCCUUUGAGGGUCAAGAGCCUCCAGAAAGGAAAGGGUGCUGUAAUGGGAGGGAAAACUUAAUGGGGUGGUAUAUAUGGUGGCCGGUAGUAAAAGGGGCUUUACCUUCAACGAAAUUACUAAAAUUACCACUGAGGGUUGAAUACUCUACGCUGCAGGGGCCCAAUUUUAACGAGCCAAUAAGAAGGCGACGUACUUGCUUGCGUUGUAGAGAGGCCCACAUGAUGGUUGCUCACUUGCCACUGUUUAAGGGCAUGUUUGGGUUAAUGUUUUACAUUUGGCGACGUUAAAAGUUUGUGUGCUACUUGUGGUUUUUGCAUAAUGAAGUUGAACACGUGUAGUAAAAAAAAAUUCAACCAAGACAAAUGAGUUUCUACCAAGUGGUAAAUUUAAACUUCAUUAGAGUUUAAUUACCGAGAUAACAAUCCAAUUUUGUUGUUCAACUUUAAUCGAGUAAGUUUUUAUAUUUAUUCUUUAAUAUUAAAAAAUUUCAAAUAAUAAAUUAUUCUUAAAAUAUAAAACUGUGAGUUGAAUGGAAUCCCAGUUGGUGAUUAUGAUUGAAGAUUCUAAUUUUAAGCUAAAGAAAUUAAUUUUCCUAGACAGGAACUUGAAGGAAAAUUAAGAUUCCAUCGAAUUAAAUGUGAAAGAUUUUAAGAUAAAUGGAAUUCUGAUCACAAGACCAAUGACGCGUUCCAAUAACCUUUCCCAUUCCUGUCGAUCUCACACAACGAAGACCAAGGACGCGUUCCAAUAACCUUUCCCAUUCCUGUCGAUCUCACACAACGAACGAACCAUAUAACAAGUGAAUUUUAAAUUUGGGCCGAACCGGGCUUGAAGUUGGACCCAAAGUGGGUUUAGAUAGGCCUAAACCCGCUCAAAUAAGGAUAAUGAUGUGAUUGAUUCAGUCUGUGGUCCCAAGUCAACAAGAGGGUGCUCCUAGCCAUUCACAUGGUCAAGUUAUCAGAAAAUGGUCAAACCUUGUUGUGAAAAUAUAAAAGAGGAAUUGCUUGCUGCCAUUCUCGGAGUAAAUUAAUUCCAUAACGUUCUAAUCUGAUUAUGGAGACCAAAGUUAAAGAAUAUAAGAAGAGAUGACAUGUUAAAAUGAAUUCAAAAAUAAAAUAAAACUGAAAUGUAAUAAAUUUUUCUUUCCAAAUUACCUCACACAGUAAAUUUUUGGAUUUCAGAAUUUACUAUUAUUAAGCAAUUGCAGGACAGUAUUUCUAUCGCCUUCAAUGCGACAAAUUAGCUCAAAUAACAUCAUAAUUUUGUUUCCAAGUAAAGUAGGAUUGUUUUUCCUCAUGCAAGCCAAAUAGAAGACCUUUUGAACUAGAGUAGAACACAGCAUUUGAGUAAACCACGACUUUGUUCAAACAAAAGCAAAAUGCAACGAUGAGGAUUAAAUAAUAAGCGCGGCAAAAAUGCCAUAGGAAUACAUUACAUUGAAUGAAUAAGAAGAAGAAUAAGUGCCAAAAAGAAAAAGAUGGUAAAUUACAAAAAUGAUAUGAGACUGUCGAACCUAAUUCCUUUUACCUCGAUUUUUCCUAGAAGAAACAACUGUCCAUCCAUCUUCUCCUUGAGCCUGCUGACUAUUUGGCUCAUCAACCUGCAUGUUCAAUUGAUUCGACUUUGACUGCAAUUUUGGUGCAUCAACCAUCAUGUUUGAUUUAUCAUCCAUGCUGUCAUCAUCGUCACUGUCCUCAUCUUCAUCGUCAUCCACAGCCUAGCAAAGAAUAGAAAAAGCAAAAUAAGAAGUGAUAUUCCAAACCAUUGAAAUAAUUUGACUUCUAAAUUCUAGCAUACUCUUAUACAAAAAGAAUUUUAUUCAAGGCAAUGUAAACAGAUGAUAAAAAUUCCUACCCUACGGAUGCCAGCAAUAUCUAAACUAUUGAAUAAACAAACUUCCCAGUCAGGAUAUUCCUCUCAUGCAGACGACAGAAACAUGCUAAUAUUAGAUCUUGAAUUUUCUAUUCAGUUAAGCCCAAAAGGCAGGGACCAAAAUAGAGUGCAUUCUUCUCUAAAGAUGCAAAGGAAAUGAAAUUCCAAAUUUAUUGCUAGUAUGGGGGCAAAUUUUAUAAAGUGCACAAUCAAGACACGUGCACAAGGGCUGAAAAAUUAUGGAAGGCAGGACAAUCCUAAAAAAGAAAUCCAUAAUGAGUAUAGCAAUUAUCCAUCUCCUGCUGAAUCCGAAGGGAGAUUUCAUAAUAAAUUAUCAGUAUAGCAAUUAUCCACAUGACAAUAGCACUAUCAAUUAUGGGUUAACGUCAACUUAUAUCAAGCUCCGGAAAUUUUAGCAUCAUAACAGCACUGCACAAAAGGUAAGUAAGAUGCAUUCAUAAGCAGAAAAGACACGUUACAUAAUUUCUAUGCAAAGAAAUUAGAGUACCUGUCUAACAUGUUGAUGAGCUCCUGUCACAGGACCUGCUUGCCUUAAAUUUUCAAUAGAGUUGUAAUUACCUUCCAAACACUCUUCGUGCAUAAUCAUUAGUUUUUCUGCAACCUGCGUGGAGCCAUAUGAAAUGCAGAACCAUAUAAGGUAGAAGUGAAAAUUGCAUCCACAAUGUCCAAAACUAGCUCCACUAGGACUGGCAUAAUGGAACAAUAAAAUAAGCCAUGGCAACAGGGCAUGGUUGCAAAUAAUAUAAGUAAACUUCCACAGUUUCGAUCAAGCAACAUGAUGAUACUCUAAUUACAAUGACAUACUUUACAAUUAUACAAGUUGAUAGUAACAAUAACUCAUUGUUACAAUUACACAAGUAGAAAACAACUCUUUGACACAAUAUUGCAAAAAAGUUAUACCUCCUCAACGCUUCCAUCCUCAAUCAUUGUGUUUAGAGAAAGCAAUCCUUCAUCCAAGAUAUUCUCUAAAUCAUCGAUAUAAAGUGGCUCUGGCAGAGGGAUGAAGAAGAUACACUCAAAAAUAGAACAAGGAAUAAGAAACAAUUAAAAUUCACUCUUCAAAAUAAAGAAAUAGAAUUAGAUACUAGCAAUCAGAAUAUAAUUUGUAGUUAAAAACUUAAAAUUAUGUAUUCUAAAACCAAAAACCCAUCAAUAUGAAAAGAAUCAAGCAUAAUCAAUAUUUUUUAUCAGUUCAAAAACAACCCUUGAAUAUGGUGAUUAGCUAGUUCUAGCAAAAAAACUCAAUUAAUUAGCAAUUAAACAGACAUUUCAACACAGAAAUCACGGAAACUAAAACCAAAUUAUUCUACUUUCUCCAACUAAAUAAAGAUCCAGAAGGGAACUGCAAACGAGUGACCAAUUAACAAUCAAAAAUUCUAAAUUUGCGACAUAGCAAAUCGAAUAAGGUAAAAAAGAUCCCAUCUUCGCCCAAAAAUUUGAUAAAAAGAAGGAACUUGUAAUGCUUGAGUUGAGAUUGGAUGAAUUGCACCGACUUGGGUUCAGUUACCUUUUGACUGAGUAAACCAGGACAAGACAUCGGCGCCGAGCUGGUUAGCUAAUUGGCCAGAUCCGCGCCCGCCCCACUCAUUCUGAACGGCAAGUUGCAGAGCCGACCAUCUGGAGAGAACGAGAAAUAUGCCUUCUUCAAAUAUUGGCAAUGACUCUGACAAUAGCUGCUUUUUCGGCUGGCCGCUGCCGCUUCCGUCCAUAGUGCUGCUUUCGAUUCAACUACACUCUCCGCUUUUGAGUUUGUAAAACCCUAUGUACUGUUUAGAGGAAGAGAUCUGUUUGGUUUCAAGGAUAGUGCAAUUCUUUUCCUCGUUGAAUUCUAUUGUUAUUGUUUUCUUUAGAUUUUAAUUUUAAUUUUUUUUAAGUUCUAUUUAUGGCAGCGUUACUCUCAUGUAUCUACACUUUUUUUUUUUCCUUUUUAGUUUAUAUUUUUUGUCAAUUAAUAUUAAAAUUAAUCGAGACUAACGCUGUUUUUUCCUCUCUUUUUUUUCCCAUCUUGCCCCUUGAAACAUAUUUAUUAUUCAUUUAAUCAAUUUUUAUGCUAAUCUUUGUUUCUUACCAAUAAAUCUUAAUUAUGCUUUUAUUUUUUCACAUCGUAAUUCUUAAAUCAAAUUAUUUUGAGAACAAUAUAUGUAAAAAAAUCAAAUUAGAAAAAAAAAACCUCGCAAAUUAAAAAAGAGUCAUGUUUAAUUGAAAGGGUUUGUCCAUUUUUAUUGAAUAUAUCUAUAUAUCUCCUUAAUUUAGAAAUUCUAGCUUGUCUGUCCUGUAUUUUAACAUCUAAAAAUUAAUUAAUAAAAUAAAAAAAAAUCCAACCAACCAAAUUAAUUCUUCGAGUUAUAUUAACAUUGAAAAACAAAAUUGCACUAUAUAUAUAUAUUGGGAAAAGAGAAAGUUGAGUUAGGUCCAUAAAUAGUAAGGCAAAAUAGUACCAAUAAAGACCGAGUCAACAAAAUCCAUAUUUAUAGAUUUAUCUAAAAAUCUGAUGGAAACUAGCAAUUCACCUCAAAAUCAGCCGAGUGUGGCGCAUAAUACACAAAUGUCUCUGCAUUUUCCUCCCCACGUCUCAUUGCUUAACUACACGUGUCCAAAUCUUGCAUGUCCCCAUGCACGUAUAAGAACAUCACCGUCUUCUAAAGAAACCCUAAAUCAGAUUUACUGAAAACAAACAAAGAAAUCAAAUUAGAAAAGACAAAUAAGGAUGAGCCAACUAAAGCCUGAAAGGCCUCAAGAAGAGGAGGUAGCAGAGAUUAAAACUAAUAAUAAUAGCGUUGAACAGACUAUAGCUGAGGAUAAGCCAGAAAAGCGUUUGAUCAAAGAAUCAAUUGCUGGACAGGUUCUUUAAUCUAUUUUUCACGUUCUCUCUUGGAAAUUCAUUGAUUCAAUCAUUUAUGUGUGUGUGUAUAUAUAUAUAUAUAUAUAUAUGCCCUGAAUACAACAAUUGAACUUUUUUAAUUUCAGUUUAUAACUUAAUUUAAAGAGAGCAAUUUUAAUAAUAAUAGAACAUUUAUUUGAUGAAGAACAGAUGCAGAUAGCAGAACAAUAUUCCAACAGAGCUCAAAUUCAGUCAUUGCCUACAACAAUAACAUUUCCACAAGGUGGUGUUAGUGGCUGUGGUGGAAUCACAAUUGGUGAAGCACUUGAAGCUACAGCACUAACAGCCGGCCAGAAGCCUGUUGAAUGGAGUGAUGCCGCCGCGAUUCAGGCUGCUGAAGUAAGAGCCACUGGUCGCACCACCAUUAGCCCUGGCGGUGUUGCCGCUGCUGCACAGUCUGCCGCAACCCUAAAUGCUAGGGCUACGAGAGAUGAGGAUAAGACGAAACUCGCUGAUAUUCUUGCGGUACUUCCUUACAUUAACACAUUCUUUAUUAUUAUUGACUCUUUUUUAUCCAACACAUUUUCCAAUAUGGAGCUUGUGAAUAUGUUCUUAUAGGAUGCGACUUCAAAGUUACCGGCAGAUAGGCCGGCGACGAGGAAAGAUGCAGAAGGGGUGACGGGUGCAGAAAUGAGAAAUGAUCCGUACCUGACUACACAUCCAGCAGGAGUGGCUGCUUCUAUAGCGGCGGCAGCGAGGCUUAACCAGCAGAACUCUUUCAAAUAAUUGAAAGCACUUUAAAUUAGGGUUUUUUUCUGUAAUAUUAACGCUUUGAAAUUGAAAUAAACUGGACGACUCGGAGUUUGUUACAUAUGUCUUGGGCGAAAGAAAGAACAUAAAUGAAUUUCUUCUCUCACCCAUUUUGUAUUUAAAACUGAAGAUCAUGUUAAAUACAUAAUUUAAUUUUUUUUUUUUUUUUACUUUCUAAUUUUGAUGUGAUGUUAUGGGUUUUAUUUGGAUUACAUCUUGUAGAUUAGAGAUUCUUGAAUGGGAUCGGAAUAAUGCCCUAUCAAUUAGGGAAAUGUUGUCAAAGAUGAUCAUCUACUGCACAUAAGGCAAUAGAAAUUUGAAUUGGUGCGUCAAUGAGCUUCAAUAGAAUGUUUAACUUCGUGGCUAGUUGGAAAAUAAUGUCACUUAUUAUGUAGUUUUUGUGACAAAUAUAUAUAUAUAAUUCUGAUCACACUGAUUUCUCAGUAUGGAAUGUUUCGAAUGAACAAUAUAUAUUUACAAUAUGCGUUGAAUAUGAAUUUUCUUUAAAAAAAAAAGUCAGUUUCGGACUUAAAAUAUAUAUAUAUAUAUAUAUAUAUGUUAUAUAGAUUGUAUUUGUAAUUCUCAAUGAAAUUGUCAUUGUUUUUGGUUAAAUUUGCUAUUUGAUAUAAUAAUAAUGUCGAGUAGAUCUUAAAAGUAUUUUGAAAAUAAUAGUGAAAUUUGAAUUAUGUGAUAAACCUGUAAUAAACCUAAGGUAAAAUAAUUACUUGUACUUUUAGUGUAAUGUAAGGAAUACAGAUUGUAAAAAAAUCUGCAUAUAGGAUAAGAUUUGCCUGCACCUGCACUUGAGCAUGAGGUCUCCCAUAUGAAUGCUUUCAUUUGAUAAAAAAAUAUUUUUCUACUAAUUUUGGCGCAAUGAGUGUAGAUAAAUCAUUCCCGUAUAGAAGUUUUCUUCCUAUUUAGACCGGUGAAGUCAGUGUGCCCCAUUUGCAUCCCCUUGUAAUCUCGUUCGGCCAGAUUGCCUAGAUUUUAUUUGGCUUGGAUACAUCGUCUCCUGCUACUUCUAUUUAGUGCAUUGGCGUAGCCAUUUUUUUCCAGAUUGUAUUAACUAUUUAACCUGGCUGGUUUACUUUAGCGCACCCAAAUCUAUCUUUUUCAAAAUUAAUUACUACAAACAGAAUUAGAUAAAUUAGAUUGAGGUCAGAGACGAAGUUUAACAAUAUCGUGCCUUUAGGACCAUAAGGAAACUGUAAAAUGUCGGGUCACAUAAAACAGAAUAACAAUUACCAUGGAGAAAAACUGUUGGAGAUCUGGAAAAGAGCAUCAAUUACUACAGCCAAACUCUCGCCCUUCACUGCAGUAACGGAAUAUAUUCCUCUCGUGUUUGUAAAAACAUGACUUACUAUGUCUGCAUAAUCUAAACUCAGAUUUGAUAAUAACGGGUGAAAUUUUUUGAGAGGUAAAUUUGAAUUUUCACCAAGCAUAGACAAUAAAAUCCGAAUGCAUGAUAACAUCAGAAAAUUUAAUGUUCAGGUGAUUCCAAAUCCACCUCAAAAAUCAUAUAUGUAGUUCUAUCCAAAGGAGCUGCCAAUGAAUGAUCUCUAUGCUACUGAUGAGUUACGAAUACAACUGUAUACAUUAUUCCAACACCAUUGAUAGAGCGCAAGACAAACUAAAAACUGGCUCUAUCAUUCUGAUCCAUCUUGAGAUGAAAGCAGUGAUUUAAAUACAACAAAACCCUAUCAUGUACAAAUCUACAAAAUGCAACAUUACAAAAUGGAGGACAAAAAAUAUUCCUUCCCUAAAUCAUAUCUAUAAACAUGGAAUUCCAUGAGAAUUACUCACCCUUGAAGAUUGCAAUUUUCCGUGUAUCAACUGCCAAAACUAACCUUUUCAAGCGCCAGUUCUCUGGUGAUGAGUGUUAGCAAGACUUGCACCAACUCUCUCACCCUUGCUUCCCUGCCAACAAAUUUUUCGAUACAUGAUAUAAAUGUGUAAUCUAUAUUUUAGGCUAGUUUGGCCUUGCUUGGGCCAAAAGUUGCAAAAUGUACUUUUGUGCAAAUGGAUGAUAGAUUCUUUUAAGGCUGGGUUCGACUCAAAUACGUUUUGAAAGACCCAAACCACAGUAGGCCAGUUUCCGGUUAAAGUGGUCCAGCACCUAGUGCCGGUUCAAGUCUCAUGACAUGAUAAUUUAAUUAAAAAAUGUGAACCCUACAACUACACAAUGUUUUGUAGCCAUGACCCACAUGCAUUGGAGCUUUCCACUUCAAGUAGUACACAGGACUAAGCCAUCAAUCUAAAUAUGGUCUUAUUGCUUAUAAAUGGCUACUUCCAAUGUUCCAUGGAUAUUGCAAAACAGAACAUCAGUUUAUUUUUGUAUUAUUGGUAUCCUGAAAAUUUUACAGCUAAGGUUGUCUCAAAAUGUUAAUACAUUACUCCGUCCAUCAUUUAUUGCGAGUUAUUGCCAGAAUCACAGCAAUGAUCUCCCCUAUGCCUUUUUUUUUUUUUAAACAAUACUAGAUAUCUGUCAACGUUACAAGUCUAGUGAACAAAUUAUGCUUAAAAAAUAAUUUCUCACCUGGUUGUUACAAGAUCACAAAAACUGGGAAAUAGCACGAGUAGAUGGGGAUGCUUGUUUUCAUCCUCCUUGUCUUCCAGGAUACUUCUCAAAUUAGAAUGCAAAGGAAGAACAGGCACUGUAUCUGGAUGUAUUCUCAGAUGAGCUAGUUCUUUAAGGACGUAGAAAAUUUCUUCAAGCCUCACUGCUGGUAAUGGAUGUUCACCUGCUGGAGCAGUUGUGAAGUUCAACAAGCAUAACCAAGAAGAUGAGAUUGAUGCUUUCACCAAUUGAUAAGUUGCAUGAUAGAAGCUAUGUACCUAGAUCCUUCUCGUCCAUCAGAAAUCUGUUAAAGAUGUCUUCGCAUCUAACUAUAAGAACCAUGAGUGAGAUUUUGCUCACUUCCAAUCUUGUUGAGUUCCAAUCACUCACUUCAUUGUUAAAACUGAAAACACAUUAAUGGUUCAUUAAAAAUAAUAUUCCACAAAAGAAAAAAAAAAAGAUAGUGCAGCCAAGGGAUUUGGUUAUUAUAAUAUAAUUUAUCUAUCCAUAACCUCAAUUCUUCAAAUGUUUUUAUACGGGAGAGAGAUUGCUGAAUGGAGGAGCUUCCAAUGAUUAACAAAUGUAGCAGCAGCAUAAUAAAUUUGACAUUACCAACUGAUUGCUCAAUAUGUUUACUUGUUCUAAGAACAACAAUGGUAUUGGAUUAGAAGAGUCCACACAUACAAGUUGUUGACAGAAGCAACAGCUUGAACCUUCAGGUUCCUACAAGCACAUAAUCAAAGAGAAGGAAAAAUAUCUGGGACAAUGCAUAUUUUAUGUAUUUCAUGGAAGGACAAGAUCCUGGGGUUGCUUAUUAUAUACCAUGUCAUUCAAGAGAAAACAAAAAAAUCCAAAAAGAUAGAAAGAAAAUUAGAUUGGCCUACUGAACAGUGAUUUUUACCUGCUCAAGAAAAACAAUUUCUGCAAGCAAGCCAGGGAAAAUCUGCUACAAUGGGAUGGCAUAAGCUCCACGGUCUCAACAGGCAAAGAGCAUGUACGUGAUGCACAACGAUCCAUGGUGGAAACUAGUCGCCCCAGAAUCUGAAUGAAAAAUGGAAUUAGCAAAGCAAGAGUAAUCAGGCAUCAAAGCCUCAAACCAUGAAGAAAACUUUGCAACAGUGUUAAAAAGGCACAUGAACUAUUAAUGUGCAAUAUAUAAUCCAACUGGAACUAUCCAGGUUCCACUAACGAUAAUUAUCACAUAUAUUAUAUGAUUUGGGUCAUCAAAGUAAAAUGCUAGAAAAUCAAAGCAAAGUUUGACCUAUGGCUACGAGAUAUAAUAGCUUUGGAAGACUCAAAAUUUUGCAGAUAUCUAAUCUAACAACCUGGACAAACUUUAUAAAGUGGGGUAAUGCAUGAAAAGCGUCUAGGGUUGAUUAAUCCUUUAAACAAUUGGCAUAUUCUAGUUUGGAUAUCAAACCCAAAUCUGCUACAGAAAUUAAUAUGUUGAGUAGCAGAGUGAUCCCACCCAGUUCCCAUGCCUCGCCCCAACUUUUUCAGUUUUGCAUCCAUCACUUCCCUAGUGGGAGAAUAAGCGUAAUAGUUGAAGAUGAUCAGUCGAACUACGUCUAUAAAGAUAUUAUCUAUAUGUGUCUAGCCAAGGCCCCCAUGUCACACAGGUAACACAAGGUAUGCUAUAGUAAGAAAAUUACAUCAACAGGUGCAUCAAUUGGCGAUUUAAGAAUCUUAUCACCCAAAACGUGCAAAAUGUCCAUCUCCAGUGCCUCAUCAGCCUUAAGUGCUGCAGCUGAGAAUGAGUUGGAAGGGAUGGCACGACCACAAUAACCGACAAGGAAUAUUUCGUAAACAUCUGCUAUUUCUUUCCAUACACGCAUUCUUGCAAGUCUACUAAUUUUCGAAUCUGGUCCAGAGUUCAUAUGAAAUUUGCAAAAAUCAUCAACAAGAAUACGAUUGAAGCCUUCAACAGCGACUCGCCAAAGUGACCCAUCUGGAUUGUCUCUUCUCGUUGUCAUACACCUACAAAAUAAGCUCAGUUUUUUUAUUUACAUUUCCAAAAGUUUCUUCUGACAAGCAAGGAAAGCACAAGGGGCACAGUUCCCUAAUUUGUUCCGGCUUUUCUGACAUUAAAGCAAAUUGGUUACCUAACACUAUAUACAGCAUUGCAUAUGAUUCUAUAAUAUCAGGUAUACUGGCUCCAAUCCACCACAAUCCAUUCUGAAAUUACGUAUCCAUGGAUAAUAUACAGAACUCAUUUGUGACUAUUACAUAUCUGUUACAAAUCAAGAUACUGAAUUUGCACGUGUAUUUCACAUUCCAUGUUAUAAUACAUUGAUCCUCAUUUUUACUGCAUGCGGAAUCACAGAUAAUUAGCUAAUUAAUGUGUUGAGAUUACUUCUCAUUUUCAAUGAACGGAAUUAUAGCUCAUGACAAUUGAUAGCAUAAAUGCAGGACCAGAUAAUAAAGUGAAUAACCAUUACCUUCCAAGACUUUGAAUAAUUUCUGGAAAUAUAAUAUAUUUUUCAACUACUGGAGCCUGUAGCAAAAGAUCUAUUAUCACAGGAACAAGCUUUUCAGCAAACACACAACUUGGGAUCCCACUGAACAAAGUUGUUGAUUCUGAUCCCUGAUGUGGAGUUUCAACUUCUUUUGGCAAAAUGGAAGCUGUACCAUUAGGUGUUUCUUUCUUUCCUUUACCCAUGCAAACAAUUUGAGAAUUUCAACAUUAUUAUCACCUUAAUGGAGAUUCUGGAUAAUUGAUACCAAGCCAGUUACGUACCUGAAACAUUAUUACUAAUGGCCGUGUGCUUAACCUCAACAUCCUCAUUUGUUAAAGAAGAAUCUGAUCUUGGCAGGUAUUGCAAAAGCUCCCUAAGAAGUACAAGCCACAUUGACGAGAUAUGCUCAGCUGGUUGUAAUAGCGGUAAGAUUUCUAAUAUAGUACGCAGCACAGGUGGAACAUGUCCCUAGGGGAAAGUCACCUUUUCAUUAGAUAAUUUCAUAUGUAGAGGAGUCAAUUGCACAUAAUCUGUGAAGGACCAUGUUUGAAACAAAAAAGUUUACUUACAAAUUCACUUUCGAAGUUAUCAUUAGUAGCUAUGAUUUGCUUAACGGCCAAAUUUAUGAUUGCAAUCAACUGAGAGAACAUCUGAUCAUCAAACAUCCUUUGUGCUUGCACAUACAUUUCACCUGCCAAAAAUUUGAGGUCAUCCAAAGUCCAAGCAGCCAAAUAAAGGUUCCAAAUCCAGAGGCACAACUUUAAUAAAGACAACAUUAAUCACUUCAUUAAGGGCAGGACAAAUGUCAUCUUCAGACAUCAGAACAACACAUGGGCAGGAUAUGGAUUAGUAACUGAAUAUUAAUAUAAUAAUCUUUUCAUGUGAUUGUUAUCUAUGCUCAAUGACAUCCUGGUCUUGCAAAAAAUUCUCAGGCUGAAGUAACAAAUUACCAAGAUCAUGUAAAAUCUCCUGCUUCACCUUGCUAGCUGCAUUAUCACUGUAGUCUGGGGAUUUUCGAAGUACAUGCUCAUAUACAUCAAAUAUGGAGUUAAGAUAAGGCAUUGGCAAAUUACCCUGAAACAGGAAAUCAUUUAAGUUGUAAACAAUUAUACACAGUUGAUAUUAGAAGAGUGUGACUAUAAGAGUCUGUCACUGCUAUAUUUACACAUGCAAUUUAAAAAGACAUCAUGUCAACUAUUUUAACUUAAAAAGAGGAAAUAGUAGCUCUAGUUUUGACCGUGUAAUUAUUACCUUGAGACUAUGAGAAACAACAGUUGUCUGCAAACAAUUUAUAGCAGCAAUAGCAACCUCUUUACUACCAUUUAAAAUACUGUUCUUUACAAAGAGAAGCAAAGAUUCCCAUCCUGCCCAAAUGAACAUCAUGUAAUAUUCAUAGGGGUUUUCUCAGUAACAAUGCGAGACAUGCGGAAGCUACAAUGUUUAUACCUGACCAGAAAUUGCUUAAGCUACUGAGAAAUGGAAAGAAAGAACGUAAUAGACGUGCUAUUCCACCAAGGACCAGCACAAGUGUUUCAUCCCAUUGUUUCUGUACUGUGUUACGACUGCAAAUUCGAGGGAGAAGGAUGCACAAAUAACACUAUCAAGACAGAUGAAACUCCAUAUAAAUUCACAAGAAGAAAAUAUAUAACAUUUAUACCUGUGAUGUAUCAGCAUAUGAACAGCCUUUCCUCCUCGAGUUCCUAGUUCCUUCCCUUGUGAUUCAUCUUUUGAUGACGUUGCAGCCUACAUAAACACAUACAUCCUAUUAAUACAGGCAACAAAAGCUCUUAAAUAAAAUUUGUGCUUUUUUUCUCUACAGAAAAGGGCAAUUGUUAUUAUUACCAUGUGCGAAGCUUGAUCUAAAGCAGGAAAAACAUAAUUCCAAAGACAAUCUUCCCACAUGCUUUUUGAAAGUUUUUGCCCGUUACUUCCGAGACUCUGAAAGAGUGUCCUGACAGCAGCAUUUCUGACCUGAAAAUACAGCUCAAGUUCAAGUUCCAGUUCCAAGAAAAGAAAAAGAAUGAAAUACAAAUGGAUUUAACUAAAAACGUUAUUUUACUGCCUAUAGCUACAUGAAUCCAUAUCCUCUUAUGGGUCUUGCUUGAAAUUCUGUAUAUGCCUGGAUGCGUAUGAGCAUGCGGAGGUAUAACUUCCACCCAUGAGACUUCUUUCCUAACAAAUAAAAACUAAAUACAUGUAUAGAUGGAUGGCUAGUGUGGGAAUGCUCAGAGAUGUAACCACUCAAUAGACAAUUUCAAACAAACAUUGAAUUAACUCCCGAAAGAUAGUGCAUUAUUAAAACCUCCACCUGAUGUAAAACAAAACUUUUGUUGAACUCCACAGGUCACAGCUCCGCAAAACCAUCUUAACUGGAGGAGCAUGUGCAAGUAAACAUUAUGACCUUCACACAUUUUUAUCACUCAAAUUAUUUGUUCUAAACCAUGUACUACCACCAAACUAUGCCAAAUCUUAGUUAUAAUGAGGCCAAAACCAUCAUACCUCUGGUCUCUCAUCAGCUCCAAGCCGUUGAAGUAAUGAAAAUACAGAGAACAACAAUUUGUCACGAUCCGUUAUAUUUAUUGGGGACGCUUGGUCAUUAGGUUUAUCAGUUACUUCCAGAGUUUGUUCUUCCUUUGAUUCACCAUCUGUUUGCCUCAAAAUAAAAUGCUCAUCGAGGACACCUAUAGUUUUUUAACAAAGCAAAACACUAAUCCAUAAAAGUUUAAUGUAAAGAUAGCUGAUGAAGUAAUGUGGCUGCUAAAAGUAACAGUUUGCAAAGGAAUCUCAACUGGUUUCCUUUUCUUCUGGAGGUCCAUUUAGAAGCGUCUUUGCAAUAAAAUCAGUUGUGGUCCAUAAGAGGCCUAUUGCUGUUAGACUUAUAUUCAACUCAGUCUUCUGAGAACUGUAUGCUCCAGUGACAUCUACACAUCUGCAAUAUAAACAUCAGCAUUUACUGGUAUGAUUCGAACAGGUGUGGUAACUAUUAUCUUGAACAGUAUAUUGAUAUCAUAAAUUGCAAGCUAUCCACUAUCACUUUCAUAAAAAGAUGUGCAAAUUGUUCUGACUGAUAAAUUUAUGUAGUUUUAUUAAGUAUUCAAAAUUUAUGUAGUUAAUUGUGUUCUCUCUACCGUCAUGUUUCUAAAUCUUCUCCUAACUCAGAAAAUUCUGAAAAAAGUUGUUUCUAUUUAUUAUUUCAUAGCGAAAGGGAUUUGACAAAGAGAAAGCUAUUCAAAGUAUACCGGAUUAUGUUUCCGCAAACUUUGAAUAUCCCACUAGGAACAAAACUGAACAAAUCGUAUUCUAUCACAGAAUCACUGUAGCACUUAUGACUAACCAUAUAUUUAGAACCUUUAUUUUACAAUGCAGAAUAAAUGAAAAUGUCAUUAUACCAUUUGCUUAAAAUAUUAGGGAAUUACUUUUUUCAGUAUAGUAAAAUAUAUAUUUUAUAUUUCAACACUUCAUGAAAAUUCUAUUCGAAUGCGUGAGCACACAGAUACACAAGCAUGCAUGUAGAAAUCUAUAAUAUGCACACGAAAUGUUUAUUUAAGUAAAACAAGUUGUAGCAGAGAAGAUAUGUAACGGAAUAGAUUAAGGAGAACAUUAUUAAAACAGCUAAAUUUGAAAUCUUACACGUGGAGAUACUCAGUGGGUAUAGAUGUGAGUCCAUCAUUCAUAAUGACUCGUAGGCUCUGUAGGAAAACAGAUUCAUCAGAUCUUUUUCAUAGAAAAGACCAAGCCAUUGUUCUUAUUCAGUAUUCCACAAUGUAAAUAUAUUAUUGUAAGAGAAUUGCAGAGCACAUUACGGCUUAGGAUUUCAAUGACCAAAUGUAUCAUACAGAUCAUAGUGCAAAUAAAAACAUCAGAACGCAUUUUUUUUUAGUUCCCAUUAUGAUAUGUAUAUAAAGCAUGUUUGUCCCAGGGUAUGCCACAUAUGUGUAGCCAAAGGAAGAAUGUAAUUAGAAAGAAGAUUUCGAAAUCCACAGACUCAGGCAUAAUGUUUAGGACCUGGAAGCCCAAGGUGACAAGAUCUUUCUCUGGCGCAUCUGCAACAGACCUGAAGAGGCACAGGAGUAAAAGGGAUCAACCAAAGACAGAAAAUUCUUAAAUGGAAAUGGGCGAUUGAGAGCAAAUAAUUCUUCAAAUACUGAACCUUAACAUUUCAAGAAUAUUUGGCCAACUGUAAUAUAAUUUUUCUCCAUGCCUCUGAAAGAGAAAAAUAAACAAAUAAAAAAGGGUUGUAAGAAAACAUUAUAAGAAUAAUUAAUAAUCAAAGAUAAGAUAAGUUAAAUUAAAUUAUAAUCUAUUUUAGUAAAGCCAUGUCACCUCCAAAAUAUGGAGAAGAAUUUUCAAGGAGCCAGCAUGAACAUCUGCAUUUUGAGUGGAAAAAUAAAGAGCCCUAAGUGGAGAUACGACAGAACACUCGAGCGAUCUCAACUUUGCAUGCUUAGUUUCCAUCUGGAGAGAGUGCAACAACAAUAAGCAGCAUAAACUCCCAAAGUCAAUAGACUACUUGUCAGCCAUGAAGAGUUAAAAUUUACUCACAUCAUAAGUUACCCCAUGGAGUCUGGAUUGCAUGUAAUCCUGGAACUGUUCAGAACCUAAAACAGCAGAUAUUGAUCGAUCUAAUGCAUCGAAGGCCAUAUUUCGCAAAUGCUGAUUAGAAUUAUCAGCAAGCUGCAAUAAAUACAUGCGAUGUCAAUGACGUAGCAGCACUAGAAUUAUACCAUACAAGAAAAAUAAACAUAAAAAUUACCUCCAUGAAGUGCCCCACUACAUGAUCCCACAGUGGCUCUACUCCUGCAAUAUAGUAUAAGAAUGAGCGGUAAACAUAAAAUUAUCCAGUUUGCUUGACUUUGCAUGAACUUUUAGCAGAGAUGGGCAUAUACAGAUCUAUGAAUCUAAAACAGGUACAAGUUACAACUUAUUACAGACAAGAACAUUUUUAAGUGAAAAAAAAAUGGAGCACAGUUUGGAAUAUGAUAAAAAAUUUAAAAUGAAAAUGUCAAAACUCUUAGAGACACUAGCAGUAUUAAGAAGUAUCAAUGAACACUCAAAUUCACCGGUGUUAGUCUAGUGUAAAAAUCCACAUCAAUAAGAAACCAUAAAAAGGUUCUCCAGUACAUAGAAUGAUAAAAUCUAUAGAGAUUAGAAAACCUAGGAACUUUAAGUACAACUAAGAGAGACUUUUUAAACAGUAAUACUCGAUAACACUGAGUCAUUAGCAAAAGGCACUUGGGGAAGGGGAAUUCUUGUUUCAAAGGCCUUUAGGAAUACAGCACAAACAUGUGACUAUAAAAAGAGAAUGUAUUAGUGAUAGGUAGCAAAUUCAUAGCAUAUCAACAUGAAUCCAGAGAUUACGCUGUGUAAAUGCUCAAAUAUGCAAAAGCAGAAAGGAAUACAAUUUUAUUACACCAAUUACUGCAAAUUCCACAUUACAUACUGUGAAGAUUAUUGACAAGAAUGGAUAUCAUCCUUUCCACUGAAAAACUGAUGCUUCCAAUCUUUUGAUUCACUGCUGGGCCAAAACCACCUGACGCAUCACACAUGCAUUGGUGUGACAAUUGACGCAGUGCAGAAAGAAGUGAUUUAACUGCAGAUAUGCGCAUCAAUGCUGAACUCUCAAAUAGCUUCACACAUCAAGAAAAGAUUAGUUAGAAUAUGCAGUCCAGUACUUUAAUGUUUUGACAAAAAGACAAUGCAGAUCCAUUAUAUAUUUGUUUUUACAUUUCAUUGAAAAUGGUAAUAUUAUAUGACACCAUAUUCAAGAACUCAAGAUGAAUAAAAAGUUGGAGAAGCAGCAAGCCACUUCAAGAAAUAGGGGAAAAUGUUGGUUUUCUUAUUUAAGAUGGCACCACAGCAGGGAGGGAAUGGGACGGGAGGGGGUGUUGAUGUUUAUUUCUCAAAAAAGGGAAUCAUAUAACAGGAAAGAGGACCAAAAAAAAAACACAGAAUUCCAGAAAUGUCUCAGUUCAUUCCAAAAAGAGUUCUGAGAGAUACAGUUCUGACAUCUGCUACCAAAUGGCACAGAAGUUCCACUACUUGCCUGGGAAUUUAAAGAAGACAGAACACUGAAGUCACUGUAUUGGCCAGAAGAUUCUCUAGGAAGCUUUGAGACAGCCGUGGAGACUUCCUGAGGAACAAAAAGGAUGUACUAAGCUUUAAUUUAAAGCAUCAAAAUUGUCCUCCUCAGAGAACCAUCCUUACAAGAGAUGAAGAGCCUAGAGCCGCAAAAAAAAAGUUUAUUCAGAUUAUCAAAAAGCAAUACAUGUCAAUUUAAUACAUAGCUGACCAUUGAGCAGAAGAUCUAUCAAAGCCACAAUGCCAUUUUCAUCAUAUGUAAUAUUGUUCAUUUAGUAUUUCCCAAGAAUUGUAACAAGUACAAGGAAACAUAGCAGGCCUCAUCUACUGCAGUAACAGAAUUAUGGUUUUCUAAGUUAAACUUUUCGGAUGAAGUGAAUAAAAUAGGAGAGCCACGUUCAACCUCACAUUUAACACAAAUAAUCCAGACUGGGCGUUAUUCCACAUCAUUUUUGUGCUGUGACUGUAAUUUUAGAUUGGAACCUAUAUGGUAUAUAACAUACAUUACUCAACUCUUUGAUGUAUUACAUCAAAGCAUAUUCAAAUCAGAUCCAACCCACUUUAUAAGUGGUUCUACGAAAAGUUCUAAUCAACCUAUAUUCAAAUUUUAACAAAGAUGGGUAUGUCUGUGCAAAAGACAUGCAUUAUUUAACAUAUUACAAUUACCAGUAAUUUCCAGACCAUGCCCCAUAAAUAUAACCACAAUUCAAUAUUAACCUGAGAUAAUUUCUAACGUUACCUGCGUGGUGGCAUGUGGUGAGUGGAUUGCCCGAUCUAAAGCUGCCAAAGUUUCCAAAACCUGAAUUUAUUAUUAAAGUCAGUACAGAUUAUAAACAUCAGCUCAUAACAGAUACAAAAAAGCAAAGUAGGAAACCAACUCACUAAAACCCAUGAUGGCCCCAAAACAUUGUGCAACCGAUGAGCAACGUUGAAGAGAGUCCUCAGGGCCUGAGUUACCAGAGCAAUUGCAAAAAAAUGAAGAAGCAGCUAACAGAGUAGGAAUGAAUAAAUAUUCUAAACAAAUAAACCGCAGGAACAAAGGCUUCAUGAAUGUAAAUAUUAAGGCAAAAUAGCAAAAUUAUAAAAAUACCUGCACAUUUUUGGGAGUAAGGACAACACUGUCCCUCUGUUCAACUAGUGACUCAGGACGUUUUGACCCAGGGGACAGCACUGCACUGCAGAAAUCUCAAUUUAAUCCAGAAUUUCAACUCAUCAGGCGGAUUGAAAUUGUAAAAAAAUAACACAAAUCCAACAUGUUACAAUAAAGACCUAAACUAAAGUUUUAAAAUGUCAUUAGAAACUUAUACUGCAGGUAUUGUAGAGUCACCCAACAGAAAUAAACCAGAUAGUUUUAUCAUUUUUUUACCACUUGUCAAAAUGUGCAUCUUACAUGAGCAUAUAUAUAUAUAUAUAUAUAUAUAUAUAUAUAUAUAUAUAUAUAGCAAACAAGAAUAAUUGACGCUUCAACCUGAACACCUUACAUAUACAACAGUCAUGAACAACUAUUAACUGUUCUUGCUAAAUGACUUCCAAGUAUUCAUUUUAAUUUACAAACCAUGUUUAGCUUACUGUGAAAUGAUUGGAGACUAUCUGGAAAUUUCCGGGAAAGGAAAUUUUAAAAGAAAUGCAAAAAGAGUAAUGGUCAAGAAUCUUUUUCCAACGUUUAUCAAGUAACAACAUCCUUAAGUUCAAAUCUUUAGCCCUGAAAGAGGGAAGGAACAUCAAUUGGACAUCUCUCAGCAUUAUCAACUUAAGAACUCAAGAAGGGUAAUACAUGUUACUCUCUUCCUUGAUCAGAAGGGAGCGGAACUUUUUGGCUCACUUUCUAAGAAGAUACUGCAAACUACAAGCUCAAAAAGCUUUGCAAAGAAAAUAACUUUUGGCACGACCAUCUAGAAAUAAAUUGAGGGAUUACAAAUCUAUUGUUUGAAAUGAGGCAAUUCUAACUAUCAGGGAUAUUUUUGCAAGCACGAGUUUCUCCUAUUCUUAAUUGUAAAAGGAAAAUUCUAUAAAUUGGCACUUGUGACCUUUUCCUUUGUAGUGAAAAAUCACGGGUGGCUCUUCACAGGUGCAGGUGUAUUGCAAAACCAAAUCAAAAUCCCUGUGUUUUCCUAUCUGCUUUUUUCUGAUCUGUGUGAAGAUUUUGCAUGCUUAUUUUUCAACAAGGAUUAGGAAAGGUAUCUCUCAUAGUUUUCUGAAUCACUAAUCAGUAGGACUCCUUUUGUAGGAAGUUCUGAAGGUAAAAAUGAUUCAGAUUUUUUACAUGACCCCUUGAGAAUUUCUACACCAUCUCUAGAUCAAAAAGCUUUCUAGGCCAAUAGAGCUGAACACAAUAUUUUCUCUAUGCUUACUAUAUUGUGAAUAUUUUGCACAAGUGCUGUGUUGUUUACUACUUGUUUUGCUCCCUAAGGAAUGCAAGAGACAUUUUUCACCCAGAUAUGAAAAUUACCUCUUCUUUUCUGCUUCAAUUGGAAAAUUAAUAGUGAAUUUGCAAAGAGAUGCUAGAAAAGAGUUCAAAGGUUCUACAGCAAGAAGAACCCCACAAGCCUGCAGAAUAGAACCCCAUAGGUAAACAAAUUGAAUCUUUUGAACAUAAUUAGAUUUGUAGUCAUGUGUAAUAUCAGGAACGGAAAAAACCGGAAUUAAAACUCAAAGAAAACUAGAAUUGACUUUGUGAGGGAAAAGAAAAGAAAUGAAUAAGAGCAAAGAUCCAACAUUUGAAUACAUCAGAUACCUGAGUGAAUGCUUGAUAUCCCUUCAAUAUUUCCAACACAAUAGCCUCUCCUUGUGACCUUCACACAUAACUCACAUGUCAGAUACACAUUGUUUUUAUCUAAUUCUUUAAGUACAUCAUCUUCCAAAAGAAUAAUUCAACGAACCUCGACAAGAUAAGGGACAAAGCAUCAAGAAUGGUCAACCACAAUGAAUCAACCAUUGCAAUACAAAGAACAGCAGUUUUCCCAGUAAAUUUUGCUGCAGUAUCAUACUCAUAUCUGGGAGAUUCAAGCUGGUAGUACCAAGAGAGAAUAAAAUCUCUUUUUAUAUUCUUCUUCUAGGAAGGGGGGAGAGGGUAAUAUAACAAAAGAAAAUGUUACCUCGCCAGCAUCAACUGCUUCAUCUGUUAAUGUAGCUACAGUAAAUACGACACCCAACAGUCCUUCAACUGCCAAAGUUAUUGCAUGGGCUUCACUAGCAACCACGACGGCAGCGUUGGAUGCAUCAUUAUCCAGACUCCAUUCAAUUCCUGCAGGGUAAGAACUGUAAUCUUCCUGAGAAACAAGAACUGCAAUAAACAAUAACUGAAUUUUGUGACUCAAAGAAAAGCCAAAUGAACCAUUUUCAUUGUGUAUGCCUACUCAUAUUGAGUCCAAAAUAAUAAAAUAUAUUGGAAUUUUUAUAAACCACAGCUCUUGAAUCACCAAAAUGGGGGUAAGGAUAAAAAUGCCACCAGUAGAAACAACUAAAAUGAUCCCUUCCAAGCAUCCCUAAAAUGUUAAAAUUCAGUGAACUAUGUUAAAUACAUAAUUAAAGGUAAAGUUUUUCAAGAUCAUUUCUACAAUUCAUAAUAUAUAUAUAUAUAUAUAUAUAUACAUAUAUAUAUAUAUAUUUAUACCCAAUUUUUGGUACUUUUUUUUUUGUUUAAUGGUGAGUACCAUCAUGCAUCUAUAUCACAUUUAAAAAAAAAUAGACAAAAAAUAAAUAUUGAAUGCAUCAAACAAAUGAAAGCUUUCUUUACGCCAUUUAAAGAUUACACCUUGACCAUGCAGGGGAGUUGUCUAAAUCUAUGAGCAACCUAGUUUACUUAAAAUUUCUGCUUCUAUAUUUCAAAAAGAACCAAACAAUACAUCAUUUCUUUAUUUGUUUAAUUCAUUAAGCACUAAAUUUUCAGGCUCUUCCUAGAAGAAUAUAAUUCUGCAUGUACAACAGAUAAUCAAAUUAAGAGCAGGUUGAACGUUUAUGUUUUACUUUGAAUGUCAAAUGAUCUUUUGCUAUCUAUAAUACUGGAAUUACAAUGCAGCUCCGUGAAACUACAUAAUGUUGCAACAAGAUUGGAAAGUUGCUACAACUUCUAUGAAUUCAGAUAACUUUUACCUUUAGCCUUGCUGCUAAACAUCCCUGCAACAGCUGCCAAGCUCUCCUCACUUGUUUCCUGAACCUAACAUGUUAAAAUCCUAUGUUAACAAUAAAUUCAAGUUAUGCACAGGAUAUCCAAUAUAUAUCACAAACUUUCAAUAUCAUCUAAUGAAAUAUACUACUUACAAACGUUCAACCACAAUGAACAAAAACUGAAAACAUAAUAUAUGGUGAAGGAAAAUGCAGCAGGAGUUAGAAAUAGAGGGCUCAAAACUGCAUCAAAACACCUAAAAAGGACACCAAAAAGAAGCCUGGAUGAUAUAAUUAAAGUAGUAGCUCAAUCUUUAAUAUAAUUCAACAAAGCCUUAGUCUCAAAUUAGAUGGUAAUCAAUUAAAAGAUAUCUAAGAAAAACUAAGUAUUUUACCCACAACAUUCAAACAUGAGACUUCUUAGCACACGACCUCUUCCUCGCGCCUCUUUCAAUUACACUAUGUUGGGAAAAGUGGAAAAAUAAAUAUUUUUGUAAAGGAAAGAAACUAAGGAGACAGAGGCAUACUCUAGCUUUUGAAAGAGAGCAAAAAUGAAAACAAGGGAAAUAAAAACAAAAUUUUCCACCAUUUCUCGAUUUCUUCAAUUAGGAGAAAAGAGAUUGAAAAUGGUUAUACUCCACAAAAGUUACUCAUUUGCCAAGGAAAAUACAAUAUUAGGAUAAAUUUCACAACAAUUAUUUGGUACCCUUCCAUCCUCUUCACUUUCCUCCCAUCCGAACAAUAGAAGAGAAUAUUUUCUUGUCUACAAAUGACAACUUUCUUUUAUCUACCUUGAUUCCUGAAACAAGCAAGAGAGGCAAGAAGUCCUAUAUCUGGAAACUUAAUUUUUGGCAAUCGACAUGAAACAUCAGACAUGCCCCAAACCAUAAACUAACAUCAAAGCAGAGAAAAUAAACACUUGAGAGUUGAGCCUCGAACCCAUGAAAAGCCAGCAAACAGCCAACUAGUUAAAAAGAAGCCAAAUGCAACAUUAGAGAGGGAAGCAAUGAAUACAUUGUUGGAUAAAAGGUAAAUACUAAAACAACCUAGUUCACAGCCAAAGUUUCAUAAGAUCAGGGGAAAUUUGUUAAUUUUUUUAGGGCCCACAUGCAGCUGCUGAUAGCAGAAGCGGUCAUGAUGAACUUUGCAACUGCAGCAAUCAAAAAUCCCAGUAGAUGAAAGUCCAAUACUGGAGAGUUCAACUUACAGAAUUACAAAGCACAAAGACCAUGAACCAUCACUUAAGACAAAGCAUAUAGAAAAAAAACAACCUCCACAACAAAUCACACCAAUCUCCCCCAAGAUACAAACAGUUCAGCAUGAAACAGAAAAUAAAAGCAUUUAACUGACAUUAGGCCCUUAACUACAAAUUAGCGAUAUAGUUGAGGCGAACUAAUAGGAGAUGAUCAUAAGCCAGAAACAGUUGAAACAUUUCACCUGUAAAUUUGAAACAACACGAGCAAGAGCUUUAACCAUACCCUCCACAACAUUUGUGUUCUUAGGAUGCCUACAAGAGCAAGCAAAUCCAAUUGUUACACAUGAAAAUAGAACUAAAAAAUAGAUUUCUCUCAAUGGAAGAAUGGCCAUGGGGUAAGAAAAUGAAAGAACAGAGUUAUCAGAAAAGACAAAAGAAAAAACGGACUUUCUUCAUACAUAUGGGAUUUGACAUGACAUAUAAAAUAAGAGAGAUAAAUUUAUUCCUUUUUGGCAUACAAGGAUUUCUGAAAGCAAUAUUUUUUGUACUUUUCCUAAGAUUGUUCUUAGGGCCUCCAUCUUUUUUUUUUUUUUUUUUGGGCUCUCGGAAGAUACAUGCACAAGCGCACAGAGACAACAUCUCAUAAGUAGUUAUUUUGCUAUAAUGGUGAUCUUCAAUGCUCUCUGGAUGUGCAUGUACAAGUGCGCACAACAUCACAUAAGUAGUUGUUUGCCAUAAUGGUCAUUUAAAUAGGUGAAUCUUCAACAGCAGCCCGAAGUUUUUCCACACUGACCAUUGUGCUUGUACUCAACAUGGUAAUUCUGCAAUAAUUUCAUCAAACUCAAUGUGUGUGCGUGUAGAAGGGCACAAAGUCCUCUUCCAACCCAAGCACACACAACAGAACACUUAAUUCAAAUAAAUAAUUUAUUUUGCUAUGUUAGUUAUUUAAAUAAACCAUUCUUCAACAGCAACCUAGCUCAUUUCUCUCUAACACAUAUAUGCUUGUAAUGUAUUUUCACUUUUAUAAUGACUUCAUGUCUUCAUCAAACACUUGUAGUUCAUACAAAAGCUCAGUCUUUGGUAGUAAUCACAUCAAAUGUGUCUAUUACUGCACUGUCUUCUUAUUUUAUGUUAUUUCUUAUUAGCCCCUUCGGAACAUGAAUAUGACAUCCACAUAUAUGAGAAGUGAGACAGAGGGUGCUAGAAAGAGAGAGACGAAGUGGGGAAUAUAUUUGAUAAAGUAUUCACAACAUGGAGAACAAAAUGAAAGAUGCAGAAUAAUAAAGCUAGUGCUUACAUAUCAAAGUUCUGGAAGAGAAUGCGUAAAGUCCGAGCCUCCACACAAAAACCCUGUCAAAUUGAACAUCUAGAAUCUCAAUAAAUUUCAUAAGAAGUGUAGAUAAAAAAAAAAAAAAAAAUAGUAAUGCCACAACUGAUGCUGGAGAGAUUACCCUUAAGAUCUCAAGCACCAGAAUACGAUGCCAUAAUGGCAGAUCAAGAAAAGUAACCUUCACAAGCAUGCUAAGGAACACCUGCGUCCAGGGGUAGAAUAUCUUAUUGGGUAUACAGACUUUACUUUCAUAUCGUGCAAAAACUUAAUGAAAACAAUAUAAAUACACAUGGCUAGACUUAUAAAAGCAGUUUGAGAGAUAUAACUUGAUCCCAACCAUUUUACACAGUUGUGAGAAAAAAAAUGAGUGCAAGUAUGAAAUAACAAAGUGAAGCUGUCCAUGAAGUAAAAGGGACCAGGACAGACCAUGAUGUUGAAAAACUGUGUUGGAAAAAAUUCAUAAAUUCGGCCAAACUGAAUGUAGAUCUGUUAAAGAGAUUAAAACUUUGACAAAAGCAUUACAUUAAAAAUGCUAGCCACAUGUCAUUAGCAUUUGCUUUUAAGUUGAAUCAUAUAUUCUAGUCAUAAAAACUUCAAAACUGUUAAGCAACAUUCCCACACUGCUUUCACCAAGAGUGUCUAAAAUGGUGCUUUUCUAGGAACGCAGUUUCAACCUCAAAAAUCAAAAUAAUCCAUGAAACUUUCAAAACCCCACUAACCAUUCUACCUUUACACCACUCUCAAUACUCUGAGUAUUCCUCUUCCUCCCUUAAUUUCCAUGGGAGAGUCCUUUAAUCACCUCUUCUUUCUUUUAAAGCUUUGGUUAUUUGUUUCUCACUAUCAAUGAUAAUGCCUAGGUAAAAAAAAAAAGAAGCACUACUUGAGUCAAAAAUUGGCUCUAUCACACAAUACAGUUCCCAUUAGGUAAUAAAUGGCUAGAAAGGAGAAAUCCAUGCUCUCUAUCAAAUCCUGAAAAAGUACAAGUAAAGAGAAAGAGCAUAAGAUAGUUCCAUUCUCACCUCAUGGUUUUUUUCAUUUAAGGUUAUUAAUGAUUCAUAAUACCAAAUCAUGCAAUUGGUAAUGCAAGUAAAUACGGGUGCAACAUUUUAUGGUAACUUCAAUGAAUUAUUUAUUUAUGGACCAUAUUAGGAUAUAUGAUGAAACAACUUUGAUUACUUGAGAUUAGAAUGCAGAUCCAAUUUAAUACAGUUUUCCAUGCAGCAAAUUUAAUAAAAACUACAAGAAGAAAGAUGCAUUAGAAUAAUAAUAAUCAGAAAUCAGUUUGGCUUCUAAAAAUUUUCAUAAAUAUAACAUUUCAAGGAUAGGGUUAUUAUAACAGUUGAACAAACCUCACACUCAGUAAUAAGGGAUGAACUGUAUAGCCUGAUAAUAUGUGCAACUGAUCGCAAGACCAACCGGCGAAAAGACGGUUCUCCAGCUUCUCCUUCAAUCUGUAUCAAAAUUGUAAGGUAAAAAAUGUGUGCUAUAGAAGUCAUCAUGGCACAAUACUACAAGCACUACACAGAUAAAAGAUGCACUCCAAUCAUUUCAAAAAGAGAAGCUACCUCAGCAUUGAUACGAAGUGAAGUCAUCAAAAGUGAACAUAUCUGGUGACGCAUAACCUGUCAAGUUUCCAUGCAAACUUUACAACUAAAAAAGUUCUGAUAGCAUACUCAAACAAAAAACUUAGAAAUAUUCUUAGAGAAGAUAUUCUUAGUAUUACCUGUUCGUAAGGACUCAAGGUCUUGAAAAUAACAACAUAAUUUGACAGGAUGAACCUGCAAAUGGAAACUUUCAGCAAAACAAAUGACAAAUUUAUUUAUAUUGCCGAACAUCAUAGUUCUCGUUGAACAGAAAAAUCUUCAAAACUUGUUAUCUUUAUACUUAUAGUCAUAAGAGCACAAGACUCAUUCCAGAAAAAUAGCCUUCAGUAAAGACCCAAUAGAGGUCAAAUGAAAUAAUCAUGAUCCCAUGACUAUCAAUAAGUUCCAAACAGACUAUCCUAACAUUAUACCUGAAAACAUGACGGAAAACUACUUUCUAUUAGUUCUACAUAUGUUUUUAAUCAACAGCACAAGCUUUAAUAUCAAAAUCUUACAGAUGACUAUUACUAUUCAUGAGGUGCUUUUUGCUAUCAGGUAAUCCUCUGGACCACUUUAACAAGGAUGCUAUAUGUAAAUAAUUCAGCCCAAACUACUAGAACAAUUUGCAAAAUAUAAUCUAUAUUCUCUCAAUGCCAUGAAAACUUGAUGGCAAGAACUCUUGUUUGUAAUUGGAACUCCUCGCAAGAUAUCAUCUCAUUAAGCACAGCAUCAAUAAUUUCCAAGCACUCGUAUCACCUCAAUGACUUCACAAGACAAACCAUGAGAAUCUCACUACUUGAGAAGAGCAGUUUUUAAGUUACCUUGGAGGAUCUCAUUUUAUAUAAAAAAACAUAUAGAAAAAUAAUAUAAUACUUUGUGCUGCGUUCCAAAGCCAAGGUUUUAAACAUUAAAAUAAUAUAUUCAACUUCAAAUAUUAGAAACCAAGAUAGAUUUUACUCAAACAUUUCAAACCAAGAUAGAAUAUAGUCAUUGAAAUAAAUGUUGUCAUGCCAACCACUUCGAAAACCUAAUAGUCAUUAAGAAUGAUGUAGGAGAGGUGGUCAAAUUUUCAAAUGCUAGGUAUAGGUGAUUACAUCUUUUUUUUUUAAAAUAUUCAAGGAGCUACAUUUGAGCAAUAAAUCAACAUGACUGCAGAUAACAAUAAAAUAUAAAAUUGCAUGCACAUUUGAAACAAAGACAAACAAAUACAAAAUAGUGGGGGCCAAGGGCAUCUAUCUUACUCAAGUAUAUCAAGGACAAAUAUCCGUUGAAGGGAACUGACACGUAACCAAAUUGCCUGUGAGAUGAGGAAAAUUUUUGUUAAAAACAAAUGAUAUAAUUUGACACUCUCAAGCAAUUCCUAAGACAUACACUAAUAAAGAACAGACAAAUAAGCUGGUUCCACAAGAUAUCUAAUAGUUUCAAAUAGCACAUACAGAUCCACCUGCAGCGAGAGCUGUCAGGUCUUCGAGUAAACGAAGCGCAAGCUUUCCAGCAUUUGUUAGGAUCUCCCUCAUCAAUGAUUUCUCUCCAGAAGCAGGUUCAUGCCCCAACGACCUGUUCAUUCUUGCGUUAGAUGUAUGGAUAUGCCACGUAGGUUACAUGUUGAAAGCUAAUUCAAAUGAAAAGACUAGUCUCCUUGGGAUGCAUGACCCACUCCAUCCUAAAAAAUUUGUGGAGCAGUCUGCAGAUUCAAAUUCACAAACUGGUUGAAAAGAUAUACCCACCAGCAGACGCAUUCACAUACGUAUAUCUAUAGAAUGUGUAGGGAUCCAUGUACAUAUAUUGCAUUUGCAAUGUAUAAACUAGAAUCUAACAGAACACACGAAUUAGAAUGCUUGAUUCACAUAUGGUUUCCAUGAUGGUUCACAUACGCUGAAUAAUUGAUGCUGCGACUAACAUCACCAGUAACUGAGCUGGAUCGAGAAAUAUGACCUCCAGAACCAAAUUUUUUUGCAGGAAGAGACUCUGCAUGAACCACAUGAUCAAAAAUCAAAGCUACUGCCUGUCUGAAGGUAGCUGCAGCAGUGCUAGAAAUGGCAACAGAAAAGAGCACGUAAGCAGAAGGUCAAUAAACGUUUAAUUCUGUUUUGGUAAAAUUUGAACUUAUUAACUUACUUCCGCACACUGUCAGAGGAUCUGUUGUUUUCAAGAAGCUGAAGACAUAUAUGAAGGGCUUGAGCCAUAUUUUCCUGAGAAAAAGAGCAAUUCAGGGACAUACACUUCUAACACCCGCUAAUACCAACCACAACCAAGGCAAUAAAAAUAAAAAAUUAAAAGAAACACACACUAUUUGGUUACAUCAAGUCUAUGUUUAGCGAUCUGUAAUCUUUUCUUUGCAAAUCCUCUGUGUAAACAACGGACAAGAUAAACAUGUCCACCAUUAAAUUGAAGAUAUGUGCUUAGCAUUAAGAUAUUUUCAGCCAAAUCGAUGAACUUUGUUGACUCGGGAAAAUGCAAACCUAGUACGAUUUUAGCAAAAAUAAAUUUGUCACAAAAUUGUCUAACAACCCAUAUAUAUUUUAUCAGAUGAAAGCUUGUAACCAGAUUUAAAAUACUAUAUAGCAUUUCCUUUCUUAAACUGGAUAUCAAUUUCCAUUCAAUGACAAAGCAUCAGAUCAUAAUAUGCAACUACAAUUUCGCCAUAUCCCCUUUUUGUUUUGAGAUUAAGAUUUUAUUACUAUACCAUUCUCAUUUAUAUUCUACUGGAACUGUUGAAGUCAUCAGGUAUUAUCUCACAUCUGAUACACCUGAGUCCAAAAGCUUCCAAAAUUGUUUCCUAUCUGACUCCUAGUUAUCACAAAACAGAGAAGGAUAUGCACCUAUAAUCAUACAUUUACAGAAUGCUAAUAAAUAUAUGAUAACCAAAAAACAAAAAAAAAUAUAUCAGCUUAUAAACAGCCUCUAUACGUAGCAGGCACAAAACAAGAGGGUAAGGCAAGUUCAAUUCAUCCUUCUUCUGUUUUGUCCAAUAAAGUUGAAAGUCUUAUGUCGAUAAUGGCUGACACGGCAGCAGUUAUUUAUGUUCAUUUAGAGUAUUUCAACCUAACAUGUAACAAAAACACAGAUCAGUUUAACAACUUAUAUUUUCCACUUUAAAAUCUAUAGUUUUUGACAGAGUUUCAAAAUAUAGCACAUCCAUCAAUGUGUUUCCUAAAUAGUAUUAUCAAAUCUCCUAUAAUCCAUAGCUCAUUGAUUCUCAGUUCAAUAUCUAACAAAAAUAUAUAAACACAGCAGAAUCAUAAUAUUUUGAAACAUAUUUUACAUACAUCAUUCACAACAUUUUUUUAAAUAAUUCACUACAGUUGAAAUCCAGCUAUACAUCUCAUUCUGGGAAUAACACAUUCUGCACACCCACCGAGGAGACAAAACCAAAUAACUGAUGUUACCUCAUUCUCCGGAUGUAAUCGUGACUGAAAUAUUAUUAAUAUGGUCUGUAAGGUCUUCAGUUGAACACUCUCAUCUCCCAUUUCAGCAUGCUGCAUGGAAGGGAAAAUGACACAAAAGAUUCUGUAAAUUAUCUAAUUGCUUAAUAAGAGAAUAAAAUGAUCUUACAUAAUUGAAUUCAAAUGUUUCUGCCCAAAAAUGAGAAGAAAAUAAUCUAACUACAUCACCAAAAAUGUCUACAUAGAGAACAUAUCCUAACCUAUACUUACUUGAAAUGAAUGUGUGCUUACAAUAACUAUUCAAAUGCAGUAGGAAUUAUGUAAAUUUAUCUUUUUCAUAUUGUUGGGAGAUGUAAGCAAUAAUUUUGUCCCACUAACCAAUUGGAAACAAUGGAAAACCAUUUAAAAGAAAAGAUUUCAAAUCAUAGAUAGCCCUUCAUGAGGAAGAUUAGUGAAACAAAAGUGUGGUAACAAACCAAAAACCAAUUAGAGACCAGAAUAAAAGUCAUCCGAUUCAUUCCAUGGUUUGCAAAAAAACAGAAUGUCCGACAGAACAGUUCAUAUGAACUGAAAGAGAUCCCCAAGUCGUGUGGGGAACUGCAAGAGGAAAAGUUGAAUUAAAAACAGAAAAUAAGUUCUGCCUCUUCAUAAUACUGGUUUUCUUUCUUCCAUGGAAAAAAAAAAAAAAAAAAAAAAAAAAAAAGUUCUGCCCUCUUCUUUUUCACAAUGAUUUUUUUUUUUAGUUUAUCCAUACUAUGAAUAUAACAAAUUCAUUUUAAUCAUCAAGCAAUAAAGAAACAUCAAGCUUUUGGCACCCCACAGAACAAGCAAUAAAAGCCAUAAAGUUAAGUAUUUGCUAAAUUCAAUUUGAAGUAGAAAUCACCACAUCUGAGAAGUCAAAUACAAAUUCAGACACAAACUUACAUCUUUCAAAGUAGAAAGGAUCUCCUUUAGAGCUGAUGGAGCAACUGUAUCAUGGGAUAUAAGCUUUUGUAAGCAUGAAAGUCCAAUUACACUCAGCUUGAUAUUUCUGACCUCACAAGCCAUCAAAAAGAUCCGUAGAAUGUCCUCAUUAUGUGCAAUCUCACUAGGACUUGAUAGUGAACGAAGCUGCAAAGGCCAUGACAAUAAAUUCAUAAUCUCAAAUUUUAGCUGCCGUAUCAAUGGCCAUAUAGAUUAAAAGGAAUUGCAAAAAAAUGAUUGGAGAAUAAAAUUUCAGUUUUUGCAUAUUUUUGGUCAGUCACAAUGCUGAAGCCAAUAGCACGUUAAAUAAUUCCAGCAACUCGAACUCCAGUUCAUUUUGCAGAAUUUUUCAAAUUCUACAGUUAAUUGGAAUACCUACUAAAGCUAAAUUUCCAUACAACACAGUCUGAAAACCUAUUUAAAUUAAUUAAAUCCACUUCUGAAAAUAAAAUUGAUAAUAGCAUUCAGAAUUCGCUACUCUUCUAUCUCCCGUAUUUUUCAGUACAAAGGUUUAGUUCUACGUGUUACGCACUCAACUGAUUAAGCGGCAGUUAAGCUGCGUGUAGCUAAUCCAUUAAGCCCCUUCCUGAUUCUCCAUCUUCCUUACUCCUCAGUAACCAAAUGCACAAGCAAUAACAACUUUCCUAUUCAACAAAGUCAGCCUGAUCCACCAAACACUUCGAAAGUAGCUACACUAGACACCAAUAGAUAAAUAUAUACAACUAUCAAGCGGCAUUUAUCAAACAAAAGAAAAGCACAAUUAGCACCUCAUAUUAUAAAUAUGCACAUUUGGAGAGUGCACGUGUACACACUAUAAUUACAAAUAAGUGAGAUUAAAGGCGCGCGAAUUUGGACUCUAACCUUUAAAAUGGCAUGCUCUGCGCCGUCUUUGACUGCUGGAUACCGCCGGCGCGCUUCAGCAGACAAGGCGCGAAGAUCGGAUUCUAAGACCGCCAUGAAAGCCAUGGCUGAGGCUCCGUUAGCUUGAGUUCAACAAAUGCAACGAGGAAUUUCUGGGGUUCCUGUACAGAUAAAAUGCUACUAGUAGAAAUCGAGAGAGAGAAGGAGGGAAAGGAAAUUGAGAUCGAUCAGCCUGACCAACGGGAAAUGAAACAAGCUACUAACAGAUCUUGAAGAUCCAUUUUUCUUUUUUUUUUUUUUUCUUUUUUGUUCGUUUUUUAUUUGCCAUUUUAUAUGUGUAAAGAAACCGCUUAGCUCGACUUAGCUAAGUGGGCUGAUUAAGGGUCCACAAGGCCUAGGCCCAUUAAACUAAAGAACAAAGAUACUCGCGCUUCGUCCGUGAAGUUUGAAAGAUUUUGCCUCCCCCGGUAAACGACAGGCCGGCUUUAUUUCUGUCGUCUACAUAACAAUUUACUGAGGUAAAUGUCGUGUAAAUGUCUGUGGCUGUGCACUGAUGGAGAAAGUCAUUUGUCCAUUAAUUUUAAAGGAUUGGUCGUUCCUCUAAAAACGUCUGUCGUCUACGUCUAAUACAGGUGUAUGGCGCAAAAAUCAGACAUUCUUCCACAAGAAUCGGAGGUUUUCCAAAAAAAGAAAUCACUUUCUUCGAUAUAUAUAAUAAUCAAUUCAAAAGCAAAUAAGAAUUUAACUCAAAAGAAUCUAUACUGUGAGGGUCUUAAUGAUAUUGUUUCCAAUAUACAAUAUUAGUUUGUUCUUUUAAAGAUAGAAUUAGAACAUUAGAUGUACAUAUAAAGAGGGAAAAUUUUUUGAUAGAAAAUUAAUUAAAAUGACAAAAAAAAGAAUCAUGAAAUGGUUAAUUUUAUGCUUUUUGAUAUUGCAGAUGGUUCAAAUAGCAAAAGCUUCAACUUGUCUUCAUCGAUGCCAAGAUGACUGCGACCACGGGAAUUACCCAUUUUUUUGCAAGAUCCUUUGCCCUCCAUAUUGUGCAACUCACCUUGAACAUGGUAAUAUUAAUAUGAUGAUUAAGGAUUAUUAACGAUUUAAACAUGUAUUAAUAUACGUAAAUAUGUGUUUUUAUUUUCUUACUUUCUGCAACACCUUCCUUAAUAUGCAGUUAGAGACACCAACGAAACCAAAGUGUAAUGGCAGCAUUUAUGCAUGGACUUCUUCGUAGGAAAUAAUGGGGAUCGCCAUGUUUAGGCUCAUCCUCUCCUUUUCUUUUUGUUUGUCUUUUCUUUCCUUUUUUUUUUUUAAAUAGCAAUUGGUUUUUGUUUUGAUAGAUGUAAGAAUAUUGUAGAACAAGAUAUUUUUCUGUUAUUGUUCCUUCUUGUUUUGUUUAGACUUUUCCACAAAGAAGAAAAAAGGCUAGUUACAAGCACCAUACCCCUCAUAUUCUCUCAUAAUUUUCUGAAGAAGCCAAAUAAUAAAUUUUGACUUUUUCUUAUUAUAAAAUAACAAACCAACAAGCAAGCAGAAUAAUAAGAAAAAGGCAAUUUGGAGCGAUAUUUCUUUUAUAAUCCCAUAAUCAAUUAUCAAAUGUCAUGUUUUCCAUUUCAUGCCUGAUGGAAUCAAAAAGCUUGGAAGACAGAUAACGUUCUACUGAACUGGGAAAUAUUACCUGCACAAUUAGCAAGCAAAUGAAAUUAAUAGCAUAUAUAUAUAUAUAUAUAUAUACAUACAGUAUUUAGGCUAAGCAGAUUCUUCUAUGCUGCUUCGAUAAAUGGAACUUACAGCAAAGAGUUUCCCAGCAUUUUCCGGUCUCUUUGCCAAUUUUAUUGCAGCAGCAGCUGCAGCACCAGAAGAUAUUCCAACCUGUGCAGAGGAAAUUAGGGAAGAGAAAAUUCAAUAAAUUUUUUUCACAAGUUGGGAAGGUUAAGGGCUCAUCGCAAUAGCAAUGAACAUACCAGCAGACCUUCCUUUGAAGCAAGCAGCUUAGCAGUUUCAAUAGCUUCCUCACUUGAUAUCUGUAGAAAGUAACACCAGCAUCAUCGCUAAAAACUAAGUAAAUGAUAAUCUUUAUAUAUAUAUAUAUCAAAUAAUUGAAGACUUACUUGAACAACUUCAUCCAUGAUAUCAAUAUCCAUAACACUAGCGACGAUAUCAGAGCCAAUUCCAACGAUCAGAUGUGGGCCUUUUGUAUUUGCAGCAGCAAAUUGUCAAAGAAAAAAAUAGUCAUAAUGAGAAAUCUGAAGUAGAGUAUAUUUAUAAUUACGAAGUAGGUAAAAUGGGAGCUCAUUACUAAUUUCUUAUAGCAUUAUCAAGUUUUAUCAAUAAGAAUCUUUUUAUUGUGCUUAUCCGAUCCACGAUCAAACUUCAUUGAUCCUAGAUCAAUUGAGAAUUCUUUUGCAAGAACUCAAAUGCAAAAUAGAGAAGACAGGAAAAAGAAUUCAUCACUAACCGCGUGUUACUCCACUUAUCAUUGCAUUCUCAGAUGGCUCAACACCAUAAACCUAGGAAUCAAUAAAUGAAAGCUAAUUACAUUUAAAACCUAAUAUUAUCCCCCCCCCCCCCCCCCCAAAAAAAAAAAAAAAAAAAAAAAAAAAAAUCCAUUCUAAACACACAAAACGGACAAAAUACAUCUUUGGGUUUUUCUCCUUAAGAAAUCUUCCAGCUCCACCUAUGGUACCACCAGUCCCAACUCCUGCAACUAAGGCAUCAACUUUUCCUUCAGAGUCUCUCCAUAUUUCUGGACCAGUGGUUUCAUAAUGAAUCUACACAAGGAACACCAAAAUUACUCGCAAAAUCCUCUUGAUUUUCAAUCCACGGCAACUAAGAAAUACCUGUGGAUUGGCAGGAUUAUCGAAUUGGUUAAGAAUGUACCCAUUAGGUGUUUUACUAAGUAUUUCCUCUGCCUUAUGAACUGCCCCUUUAAACCCUUUUGGUUGGAUCAGUAAGGCAAACCUCAGCUCCAAGAGCUCUCAACACAAUUUUUUUUUCAAGAGUCAUUGAAGUAGGCAUUACUAUUGUAGCUUUGUAACCCUUUCUUGCAGCAACUGCUGCUAUUCCAAUGCUAGUAUAACCACCAGUAGCUUCGAUGAGGAUUGUCUUUAGCCAAUGGUGCAAUUGUUUAGAACUUUGAAUGUUUCACUCAUUUAGUCGAAAUUUUAACUAGGAUUGUAAAAGAAGAAUUCAAGAGCAAAGACUGACCUUUCCUGGUGUAAUCAAGCCCUUGUCUUCUGCAUCUCUGAUCAUACUAUAUCCAAUUCUGCUCACCAAAAAUCAGUUCAAUGUAUUAAAUACAAAACAAAAACAUAAAUUCAUAAAGAAACUGAAUAAAAUGAUAAACGAAGUAUGCCUGUCUUUAACACUAAAAGCAGAUGUCACCAUUUCAAGCUUGGCAGCUAUUCGAGCCGCACAACCAUCCACAAUAUUUUUGAGGUACACCAUUGGAGUAUUGCCUAUUAACUGCCCUCAAUCAAACAGGAAAAAGAAAAGGAAGAAAGAAAGGAACAAGAUUGCAGAAAUGAGUAUGUUAAGAUGGAUAUCUGUUCACAAUAUUAGACACUAUUAGAAAUUAUUACAGUCGAUAAAAAGGUGCAAGUAUCACAAGUUAGGGACAAAAUAAGUGAAGGACAUCUGAGAUAUUUUGGUCAUAUCCUACGUAGACUCCAUCUGCUCCAGUUCGUAAGUGUGAUAUAUUGAUGGUAGAGGUUACUACAAGGGGAAGACAUAGACCUAAAACUACAAGGAAUAAGGUUAUAUCAAAAGAUCUAAUAUUUCUGACAUUAGUACUAACUUAGUUAUGAACAAAGUGAAAUGAAAACAAAAGAUUCAUGCAGCCAAACUCAACUAGUUUGGGACUAAAGUAGUUGUUGUUGUAGUCUGCAAUGAAGAAGGUAUAAACUAAAAAUUACUUUAGCCCAUUUUUCUUGAAAAUAGAAUGAUUCAAUAUCAACAAAAACUUUUCAGUACCUCAGAGCAACUAAUCGAUUUACUUGUAUGUGCUUCUGUUUAUGCAUAAAGAGAGAAGAGGCAUAUCCACGCCAGGUAAUAUCUAUAUCAGAUUACUGUUAUUUUAGCCCAUUUUGGCUUCAACUUCAAGAUUAUGGCUUCAACUUCUUACCUUACUUUACUAUUUGAGUGACUGCAAUAACAGUAAUCUCAUUCCCAUUCCCAUUUACCAUAUUUGACUGCACAUUGAGCUAUGAUAAGCUGGAUUAUGUUGCCAUUAUAUAUGUUUUAUCUUAUAAUAAUAAUUAUUUAUAUCUUCAUUAUCCUGUCUGAAGAAUCUUUUUAUAUUAUAUAAUAGAGGCCAUUCUUAUCCUGCACUAUAAUGUCUCAAAUAUUCAAUUAUAAUAAUUUAUUUUUGGAACUUCCAAUAUACUACCCAAUAAAUGGCCGCAUAACCAAUGGUUUCACAGCAAUUCUGGUUAUUUUCUUUUUAUCAACAAAUUUUAUUUCUUAGAAUAUAAGUAUAGGUGCACAGUAUUUGAGAAUUCUUGGUAUGCAUCGCAAAUUUUAAAUAUAUUAUAUUUUGCCCCUCCAAUCGUUCAAGUCUAUUUUUUCACCUCCAGAAACAUAUGCCUGCCUACCAAAACAACCUUUGUACCUACCAAUAUAAGGUGUCUGGUGUUUUCUCUUUUCAUUUAUUUUUAUCCCUGAGUAGUACAAACCAUGAAUCAUUUCCAUUUGAGAAGAAAAAAAAAAAAAAAAAGAAAGAUUAGGAUCCUGUUAACAUAAAGAAAGCAAAUAUAGUUUAACCCAUGUUUCUGGAUGCUGAUUUUGGUUUUAACCAAUCCUAUCACAGUUCCUGAUAUGUAUAUAUAUUAAAAAAAAAAAAAAAAAAAAAAAAAAAAAAAAAAAAAAAAAAAAAGAAGAGUAUAAAAUAUUAAUCCAAAACUGAACCUUACCGUUCCCUCGCCCGUUGAACUAAAAUUUAGCAAGGCAAAUUUCUUUUUAUUAUUCAGUUUUCUGCUUCAUCGCUUCCAGGGAAGUCAAAUAGCAAUCUGUUUAGUUCAGAGCUUGGAGAAAAAGACAGUUUGCUCUGCUGCCUAUGUAACAGUUUCAGUUAAGCCUUUACAUAAAAAAAUAAAAAAAAAAAAAAAAAAAAAAACCUGAUAUUGAAGUACAUGGGAGUAGUACAUGAGUUACAAUCUUUAGGAAAUGGAACAUGAAGAACAAAAAGAAAAAAUUGAAACUUUGUGAAUUAUUUCCCAAUUGAAGCAAAUAAGUAAUAUCUCAAACAAAAGUCAAGUUUUCCACUUCAUGCCUAACUGAAUCGAAAAGCUUUGUAGAUAGGUAACGCUCCCCCAAACUAGGUAAUAUCACCUGGAUGGCAAGCAAAAAGAAAAAGCACAUAAUUUAAUGGAGUGAUAAUGAUAUUAGGCAUUGAGCCAGCAGGUUUUAGCAUUUUAUGCAUGUAUUGGAAAUUGCUGAGAUGGUCCAAAUUAUGCAGUGAAACUUACAACAAAGAGUUUCCCAGUGCUUUCAGGCCGCUUUGCCAACUUAAUUGCAGCUGCUGCUGCAGCUCCAGAAGAUAUACCAACCUGUGAAAGGAAAAAAAAGAGGUUUUAGGGGGCUUCUAAUGGAGGCCUUGAAACUACCUAAUAACAAUAAUACUAGAGUGACCUUCUCAUACCAGUAAACCUUCUUUCAACGCAAGAAGCUUAGCAGUUUCAAUAGCUUCUUCACUUGAUACCUAAAAAUCAAUAAGACCAGCAAAAGAAUUGAAAAUAAUGAUAUCUCCGCUACAAUUUUUACCAGUGCUGUAUGUUUGGCGUGUGCACUUUUCAGUUCGAAAUUCUAACAGAGUCACAAUGCAAGCAAAUAGUAAUUACUUGUCAAGUCAAAGAUAAUCAAUUAAUGCAUAUGAAAAUGGUUUUAGACUUACUUGAAGAACUUCAUCUAGCAAGUCAACAUCCAAAACACUAGGGAUUAUACCAGCACCAAUACCCUGGAUCAGAUGUGGACCUUUGUGCAAUUUUUCAAGAGAGAAAAAUGCAUUAAUGGAAAUAUUACCCAUCUUAAGAGAAAUUAGAUGAAAAACACUUCAGAGAACAUGAGAAAAUCAUUAAGUCUGCAUAAUAAUAUUCAACAAUGCUACUGAACUGAGAAAGAAAAUAGAGACAGAGCUUGAAAAAGCUAAAUAACUCACCAGGAUUUCCUCCAUUUAAGACUGCACUUUCAGCCGGUUCUACACCAUACACCUAUGCAUAAACAAAAGGAAGCACAUAAUUAACAUAAAUGGCUAUAAUUAUGUCUUUCUCUCUUCUUCCUGCCCCCCAAAAAUACAAACCUUGAUCUCUGUGUUUUUCUCCUUGAGGAAUUUCCCAGCUCCAGUCACGGUUCCACCGGUUCCAAUCCCUGCAACCAGGGCAUCAACUUUCCCUCUUGAGUCUCUCCAUAUUUCUGGUCCAGUGGUUUCAUAAUGAAUCUACACAAAAACAACAAGAACUGAUCCAUAUAUUAUUUUUUUUUUUAACCAUGAAUCCACACUCUAAUAUAUUAGACUUGACUGACAAAAAUGAUCAAUACCUGUGGAUUCGCAGGAUUAUCAAAUUGCCUAAGCAUAUACCCAUUAGGUGUCUUACUUAGUAUCUCCUCACACUUCUCGACUACUCCAGCAAAGCCCUUGGUUGGAUCAGUAAGGCAAACCUCAGCUCCAAGAGCACGCAACACGAUUCUUCUUUCAAGACUAUAUGAAGCAGGCAUUAUGAGUAUAAUUUUGUAACCCUUCACUGCAGCAAUCGCAGCCAAUCCAAUGCCUGUGUUACCACUGGUAGGUUCAAUGAGGAUGGUCUUUGGCCAGUUUUUGUGAAAAAGAUCAUGGAAAAUGUAAAAUUGUUAGGCUUAACAUCUUUCCUGCACUUAAUCGAACUUUUUUUUAUUGAAUGAAAAAUAACUGAUGAUAUGGAGAAUGUCUAUAUGACUAACCUUCCUUGGAGUAAUCAAUCCCUUAUCUUCUGCAUCUUUGAUCAUGCUGUACGCAAUUCUGCGGCAAACAAAAAAGAAAAUCCAACAUAUUAAUUCCAAAACAAAGGUUUAAUUAUUGGUAAUUUCAAUAAGAAAAAUAUAUGAACAGAUGGAAAAAGUACUGUACCUGUCUUUAACACUAGAAGUGGGUUCCAUCAUUUCAAGCUUGGCAGCAAUGGUAGCCACACAACCAUCCACGAUCUUAUUGAGAUAUACCAUAGGAGUGUUACCGAUUAACUCCAUCAAGUCCCAAUGAAAAGGAAGAAGAAGAUGACUCACAAGUUAUAAGCAGAGGUACAUUAUUUAAGAUAACAACAGGAACCAUGAAAAUAAGAAGGAAAGUAUACCUGGGUGAUGUCUUUCUUGAUACCACAAUACUCCUCCAUAUCUUUCUAGAUACUCUGCAAGUAGGUAAGCAUUGGGAGGAGAGAGAGAGAGAGAGAGAGAGAGAAAGAGUGCAAUUCUAUGCAAAAAAAUAAUAAAACGAGCUUUCUGGGUUUCCUAUGGCAUAGAUUACAAAUCUCCGAUUCAUGCAUGGAGUCAUCAAAGCAGAUUAAAUAUAAUCUAAUGUAUUUGUUGGCAAAAAUAGCAGAACAGGGCAAUAGCAUAAGAAGUAAUAAUAAUAAAAUAAAAAAUAAAUAUUAAUCAGUUUCCCAGAACGUCAAAAACCCAGUAAAAAAUUCAUUAUCAAGAAUGAAAAAAAGGCAAAAAUAUACAGUAUUAGUACAGUUAUCAUUGCAGAAAUAGCAGUAGCGGCAGUCCAACUGUGUAGAUACUUAAAAAAGGGCAGCAAGAAUUUAUGUAUCAGAGAAAUCUCUGCCUACAAAGCAGACAGACAGACAGAUAUAUAUACAUAUAGAGAGAGAGAGGAGAGAGAGAGACAGAGAUUAUGAACCACAAACCUGAUGAGAUAAUAUUAACUAUCUCCUGUACCUCAAAUUAAUCCAUCCCUUCAUUUCAACAGGUGUUGUUUUAUAUAGGAGGUCUGCGUCUAUCCAUUAAUUCAUUCGAUAGUAACAAUUAAUAAGAAAAAGACAAUUGUUUAGGUCAUCGUUUUAUAUUUUUCUAGUAACUCAAUAAUUUUUUGUUGGCUGUGGAUGUUCUUUGACUUCAGCUCUCUUGAAUUUGGGAUACUAGUCAUGGUGGUGAUUACUCUCUAAACAUAUAAAAAUAAAAUAAUUUCAUUUUCUCCAUUUUUUGUUAUCUAUCUUCAAAAGUGUCUUUCCUCUAAAGCAAGUCUUCAGAUUUGUUCAGUUAGCCAUAACAUUUUAAGUUAUGUGAGUUACGGCUACACAAGCGGUUAAUUACAAAAAAUAUUUUUCAAAUUUGAAUUUGUUCAUUCAAAAUCUGGGAUUUCUAUUUUUAUUUUCAUUUUUUGUCUGUUGUUACUAUUUGCAAGAACAACAGAGUUAAAACAUAUACAAAAAUCCUUAUUAGAAUCAAUAAUUCCAUGCUUAUAUACAAAAUCACAAUGUUUCAGCUACAAAUAGAGCCAAUUUCGGGCUUCUGCUACUAAACAAGCAACUAGUUCCAGGCACAGUCCAGCUCCUCUUCAGAUGUUCAUGCUUGAUUAUUUCCAGGAGUCAAAAGAUAUCAAUCAAAGGUCAUAUUUUGUGCCUCAUGCCUAAGGGACUCAAACAACUUAGAGGACAGAUAUCGCUCCCUGGCACUGGCAAAAACUACCUGCAGAGCAAGCAAGAUACAAAAUGUUAUUAGAAUCAUUAGCAUAUUGGUGUAUCCUCUAGCUUAAGCUUCUAAUUAAAUUAAGUGUCCUCCUUGGAUGAGUCUGAGGGCAGACUCCCAUGCUCGGCCUGCCCAUUAGCAGAAUGUACUGCAUUAGAAGUGAAAGAACCAAUUUAAGGUAAGUGCACUUGCUACAAUAAGUUUGCCUGCAUUUUCUGGUCUUUUGGCCAACUUUAUAGCAGCGGCAGUUACAGCACCAGAUGAUAUUCCAACCUGCAUGGGGAAAAAGAUGUCUAACAUUUUUUCAUCUCAAAUGGAAGAUGCUGAAAUUCGCAUCAAUCUAGUAAUACUAAGCAUACCAGCAACCUUCUCUUGAAGCACGCAGCUUCGCUGGUUCAAUAGCUUCUUCACCUGGAACCUAAAUUGUAACAGCAACACCAUAAAAGUCUGAGUAAAAUAUUCUAAAACAAAACCAUAAGUUAGUUGACCCUUUCACAUUACAAAGAAAUGAAAAGUAUGGAAGCACAGGCAAAUCAUUUCAGUCAAUUAAAAUGCCAAUGGUGAGAUGGUUUUGAAUUUAGCGGAACAACUUCAUCAAGCAUGCCAACAUCCAAAACAUCAGGUAUAACACCAGCACCUAGUCCAUCAAUCAGAUUUUUACCUUUGACAUGCACAGAAAAUAAUUUAUCCAUUUCAGAGAUAAUAUCUAAUGCCCUUGCUCUUUAUUAACGUGUCAUAAGCUAAUAACUGAAGACAUGAAAGCCUACAAGAUCUGUAAUGGCACAAUGCUCUCUAUAUUUUGACUGACUUGGUAACCAAAAAAAAAAAAAAAAAUGGUGUCUUAUGGUUGUAUAUACCAGGAAGAGGCUACCACUCUGUGGUUCUGAACAAUGUCAAGAAAGAAAAAAGAAUGCAAGCAAACUGUGAUUCAGUACUUACCCGGUUUUCCUCCAUUUAAGACUCCACUUUCUGCCGGUUCUACACCAUAAACCCAAACUUCAAUAAGAGAAAAACAUAUAAUAAUUGGAAAUAGAGAACAACAGGUUGUUUAUGCAUGGCAAGUAAAGGACAAAGAGCAUCUUAAUCUCUGGGUUUUUCUCCUUAAGGAAUUUCCCAGCACCAGUUACUCUGCCACCAGUCCCUAUUCCCAUAACCGAGGCAUCAACUUUACCUCCCGAGUUUUUCCAAAUCUCUGGUCCAGUGGUUUCAUUGAAUCUACAAAUGACAACAAACCCUAAAUAUAAUCCCUUUUGACUACAAAACAAGCAUUACAAAUAUUGACGAAAUAAUACCUUAGGAUUGGUCGGAUUUACAAAUUGAUCAAGCAUGUAACCAUUAGGUGUAUUUUUCAGUAUUUCCUCAGGCUUCCUAAGAACCUCGUUGAAGCCCUUGUUUGGAUCUGUGAGGUAUAACUCAGCUCCAAGAGCUCUCAUCACAACCCUUCUCUCAAGACUCUUUGAAGCUGGCAUGAUAGCAAUAACUUUAUACCCGUUUCCUGCAGCAAUGGAUGCAAAUGAAAUUCCAGUGUUACCACUGGUAACCUCAGUAAGGACAGUCUUCAGACAAGUUUAGACCAGCAGAACCAGAAAAAAAUAGCAAUUUCAAUUUUCAUUAGAAAAGGCACAAAGUAGAAGCUAUAAAUUAGCUAUUACCUUGCCAUGACCAAAAUGCUUUGGAUUAUUCACUUUCUUAUAAUCUUGUUCAUCGGAUGAAGAAUGAUUGAUAAACAGUACAAGGAACUAAUUUGGAACUUGUGUUACCAACCUUCCCUGGUGUGAUCAAGCCCUUCUCUUCUGCAUCUUUAAUCAUACUAUUGGCUAUCCUAUAUGUCAUAAAUGAAAAUUAGCAAAUUCACAAAAAGAACAAGAAACAACAUACAAAUUUUGAAGUUAUAUACCUAUCUUUAAUACUGAAGGAAGGUUCGAUACUUUCAAGUUUGGCAGCAAUUCGAGUUCCACAACCUUCCAAGAUAUUGUUGACAUAUACCAUAGGUGUAUUGUCUAUUAACUGCAGAAGGCCAACAGAGAGGAAGAUACUCACUAUAAGCAAGAAGCAGGAUUGUCGUUAGUCAAGACCAUAGUUAUUAAUAAAAAAAUUAGAGGCAAUUAUGAAGAGGAUUAAAAAAAAAAAAUUCAGUAAUAUCUUUCUUGAUUGCACACUUGUCCUCCAUUCUUUUCUAGAGAUUCUGCAGAAAAAUAAAUUUGUGAAAAAAAAGUACAAAUUUUUUAAAAGAAUAUGUCUCUAUUCAUGGAUAAGAUACUACUAAAUUUAGCUAAAUGAGAUAAAUCUGAGACAAAUGGUGUAAAGAUAUUUAAAGGUAAUAGAAAUUCUUGAAAAACAGAAGAAUUCAAUCAGCCUACAAGAAGAGCACAAAGUUCACAACAAAAACCAGAGAAGGACCAAAUAAUUUAACAAUCCACUAACACCCACAAUAAAUAACAAUCAGUUAAACCUUCAUGAACCAUAAUUUUAAAAAUUUAUCAACAAGGUAGAAAAUAUUUUGAACUUAACAAAUAUCAUCAUCCCGAUAGUAAGUUUUUCUUUAUCCAUAAAAUUCUGAAGUAUCCAACAUGGAUUAUUAAACUAUAAAAUGCAGAAUCUUGAAAAGAAACACCGACAUCCACCUCAAAAAAGAGUAAGGAUCGAGAAAUGUUGUUUUCCCAGCAGUGUAAACAGUGAUUAAACAAAAUCAAAACAAGAACAGACUCUGCAACAAUCCUUACCAGAGAGGUCUUCGCAGUUUCGUGAUGUAAUAUUACAAAUUAUCGACAAUAUCAUUUCUUUGGUCUACACUCUACGGUAGUGAGUUGACCUCUGAUCUGCCUCUGCUUUUGAGACGGUGACAAGUGGCAGAAUAUUAUACUCUUCAAACAGUAUAUACCAAAUUUCCUAAGAUUUUUUUGUAGCGACGCUAACUCACUUUAGCAGAUUACAAAAAAUAACAAUUCCGGUUCUUAAUAUUUUGUAAUUCUUCUAAUAAUAAUUUGCAAGAAUAAUAGUUUUGUACUAUGGUAGUUGUCCAAUUACAAAAUAAUAGUUUCGAUUCUCGACAUUGCAUAAUUCAAAUAUUUUAUAAAAAGUUACUUUUUUUUUUUUGUACUAUGGUAGUUUAUGAAAUAAUAGCUCUGAUUAAAAAUAUUAUGAUAUAUUUUCUAAAAUGCGAAGCUGUUAAUAUUUCUUAAAAUUAAUUAAUAGAUGACGUUGUUAAGAAAGAUUAUGUAGAAAUAAAAAUAAAUUUACAUUGUUUCAAUUCAUACAAUACUAAUUUUUCCACUUGAAAUUACUAAUAAUAAGUUCAAAGUAGCGUUUUUAUGAAAUUACAGUGUUAUUAAAUGGAAAAUUUCACCUACAAAAACAUAUUUGGGGUUAUACCAUUGUAGCAGUUUAUUAGGAUAAGUUAUGAAUUAUAAUAGAUGAAGCUAAAUCAGCAGCAGCUGCGAAAUAGACCAAGGAGCUUGGUUCGCUAAUAAGUGAAAGAAGUCUUUUUGUCCCACAUCGAAUAGAGGGCAAAGAUAUAACGGACACGAGACUAUAAAAGAGAAGCAUAUGAAACUGCAAAACAUACUUACCUGGACGGGGUCAAUGGGUGAUCAACAAGGCCCAUGGCCUAGGUCAGUGACCUCCAUUGCACUUUGGAGGGGUGCUGGCCUAAGGUCUCCCCAAGUUGGGAGAGCCUACGUCAUAAUUUGUGGCAGUGGGGGCCUGCGUUCGCGCGGCCCCUACCCAAUAUAGUUUAAAUUGCGUUAUUUUGUACUUUUCAUCGUUAUGUACAAUCAUUUUUAUUUAAAUAUAUUAAAAUAAAAACAUCAAUCAGUACCUUAAAAUAUCAAUUGGUAGGAUGAAAUUAUUCGGGAUUAUAAUUAUUUUAUUUCUUGUGUGGAUAUUUA
RNAcentral lists this long non-coding RNA (54385 nucleotides) under Jatropha curcas. RNAcentral describes it as "long non-coding RNA (JCUR_LNC003120)". The stretch from base 54060 to 54221 matches the Rfam family "U1 spliceosomal RNA". Lineage: Eukaryota; Viridiplantae; Streptophyta; Magnoliopsida; Malpighiales; Euphorbiaceae. The record is from RNAcentral.